AGGAUUAGAUCUGCAUUACGUUCGUAAAUGUUGUACACUAUUCGCAUCCUGUUGGUAAAACACUGACAACAAAUUAUGUCCCUCGAAUGACUUCCAGAUUUAUAUGGAAAUCCAGCUUUCAACGCAGUUUUUUGAAGCCUAUUGUCAAGGUCCUCGAAGCGGUGUUAACAACCGUAGCGACCAUGUCGACGCUUCGACUAUGAAGAAAGUUGUCUCUGUAGAACCCAAAAAAUGGCAUUCUUCUCAGGUGGGUCCCGUGAUUUGUUGCAUCUUUCUCCAAAAAUCAAUUCAUUUCCAACCAAUUCAUCAUUAGUUACUAAUUCCAAAAUCUGCUUCAUGGAUGGUGGCCGAGAACAUCGAAGCACCUUCUGUACAAAUAUUCAUGUACAAACAUCUUAUCAAGUUCUGGAGUGUACUUCAAAGUUCAGUUAGUUUCUAGUUGAGGCCCUCAAGGUUGAUAGCAUAUAGAGUUGAUCCAACUGAACACGAUUUCCGCUCCUGCCUAGACUCUUCCGAGAGACGAACCUUUCAGUGUACGAGUGUGUGACGAUAUCCACUGUGUAGCUCCUUAUGGUCAGAGCUAUGAAGCAGCCACAACCAAGGAGAAGCUUCUCCUAGUCACUUCUCUUUCAGAGGUUCACCAUACACCCACUCCAUGUCAACCACUUGACAUGACGAAACUCAGCGUACACUUUCAGUAUGAUCCUCUCUACCAUGAAAAACUUUGUUUAUUCACACGCAGGGUUGUGGAGAACGUGCCUUAAACCACACUCCAUCCUCCAAAACUAAUGCUUCGGCUACACGAUAAGACGCUCUUUCUGCAAAGGCCUGUUGGGCUUCUUAAAGGGCUCUGCGUAGUUGCAGAAGGAGGCAACAUGAUAACUUCAUAACUAGUGUUGUGGAAGAUAAUUCAGCUUCCACUUUGUACAGUUGAAAGUUUUCCAUAUGGGAUCCUCAUAUGAUACAUGUCAAUAGUUUUACGUCUUCUUUGUUAGAGUAAGAGGUGUCUAUGUGUUCGCAAGAUGAUUUCAUGUUGAACGAAGUUCGGGGAUCUUCAUCACAAGAUAAUUUCAUGUCAAAAGAAGAGACUAAGGCAGUUCAAUAGUAGUUUAGUGGUGUCAUUUAUUAACUUUAAAUAAUAUUUAAUCGACACCAAAAGCAAAGCAAGGAUUCUUCAUAUCAGUGAGUUAAGGUUGCUAAAAAAAUGUAGGAUUCAAACAUCAUAAAACUUGCCGUCAUAACAGCAUGUUUAACUUAUAUUGACAACGAGUUUUUAUUCGGUACUUAUUGUAAUUCAAUCAAUCAUUUUCAUAUUUAUAUUUACUCUAGUCCUCUUACAUAUCUUACAUAUAUUAUUGUAGAUGCUUGAUCAUUUCAUUAUAUUUUAACAUGUUCAAUUAUUGUUUCAUGAUAGUCUUUAUAUGUGUAUAGAAGGAUCAAAGUUUGUCCUUGACAUCUUCAAACAUAUCAAGAUUGGGAUAAACCACAUGAUUAAUAAACACAUAUGAUUAAUUACAUCUUAUACAACAAAAAAGUUAAAAAUUAAAAUUAAAAAAUUAAAAAAAGUUUUCAAAUCAGUAACUAAUCAAAGAUGAAUAUAUUUUCCAUUAAAUUAUUAAAUUAUGAAUGUAAUUGAAAACUUAGUGAAGUCACAAAAUAUAGUACCUCUGAAAAGCCUCUUGUUACCAUAAGCACACAUCUCAUCAUUCAAAAUAUAUACAUAUUCCUUGAACUAUUUACUGCCGGCACUAUACCACAUUUGACUUUUUGAUAUCUGUGCCAUGUCGGCAGCGCUAUCAGUACUGAAAUUAUGGGCCACAUCGUUCAGACCUCAAAGUAGGAGGUUCUUUUACAACUGCCAUGAGACCAUAUAACAAACUGAGAGAGGGAGUGAGAAAGGAGCCAAAAAAAUUCAUUGUCACAAUGCAUACGAGCCUCAGAAUUGGAAAGCUUUGCAAGUAUUUCAUAUUCACAUGAAUCUACAAGAUGUGGAUUUUAUGAAUACAUAAACAGUGGUAACGAGAUGGUACCCUGAAGGAAUAUCCGCAUCCUAUACAAGAGCGACUACUCACAAGCUUCAAAACGAUGAAGCCAUCUAAGCGUGUUCAGCAGUUGAGGAAUUGGUCUACAUACGGGCAAGUCUAGUUAUAAUAAUCAAUGCUAGAAAAGAAUGUAUAGAAUUGGAUUCUGGACCACCGGAUGUAUGUCACCACGCUUGCGGAAGUGAAGCGGGUUUCCGAUCCACAACUUCAUUUGUAAAAUUGUGGUGUGCAACGAACCUAAUUCGAUGAGAUGGAGGAGAUUGGUGUGGGUGGAUUACUGUAAGAAAGGCAGCUGGGCAGGGCGGAUGGAGCCCCAACGUCCAACCAUAGCGUGCCCCAGCAUUUUCCAUACAGAAGGUGCCUCUUCGUCUUGCAUCCGUGAUGUUACUUCUUUACUUUCAAUUCCGGAAUCUACCAGGUCGUCACCAGGUGACCCCAAAUCGGUUAUUCCGUGGCUGUCAGCACUCUUUCUUCGUUCUCUAAUUGAACAUGGAGUCGACGAGUUGCCUCCCUGCAACCUCUUCAUGUGGGUGACGUCAGAUUCUUCUGCAGCUGGGGUAGCGUGCAAUAGCGGUGUCUGUAAAGAGGCGAGAGAAUCAUCUAAUGUGGUUCUAGAAUUUUCUAGGGUGGAGUCAUCAAACUUCAUGGUAGUGGUGAUGAUCCAUGCGAGGAAGGCACAUCCGCUUGGAACGAGCGCCAGCGCCACACGGAUCAGAGAGUAGUGGCAGAUCGGAGGAAAGCUCAACAAGCUCUGUCCCAUAACAUUCGCGGUUGGACAAAACCGCGUUUGAACUGUGAAAUAAAGGACCAAAACCUUCGUCAAUAAACGAGACCAGGAAAAUCUUGAGUUCAAGGAAAUGCACAGCAUUCAUAGUCCAGAGAAGUUGACACAGGGUUUGACAUAAUCUGAAAUCGAUUACCAUUCAUGCCUUCAAUCAAGUAGAGAGCAAUGCCACAUGCGAAUUUGUCCAAGAAGCUGAGAGAGCCAUAGACAAAUCCACAGCCGCUGAGAUUGGUGCUCACCAAGACCCCUUCCAUACUCGUCGCAGUCACCUAUCACAUAAACAUAGGGGCUCGCGCAUUUUAACAUGAUCGACGAAUGCACCAACCAAAGCUGAUUGCAGAAAAGGGAAAACAAAGUCAAGACAUGAUUAAUUCUUCGUGGAAAGAUGCUAACCAGCAUGAAAGCAUUUCCUACGCCGAUAAGAACUGCGAGAACAUAGACCGGCCCGUGUAGAGACUGCGGAAGAAGUAGGAAAGUGGCGCCGGACAACACCCACAGGGCAGCUCCCAUCGUGAACACAGACUUGAGCUGAAAGCUUGUCCAUCGCAACUCCUAAUAAAAAUUACAAUAUGAGCUCAACAUUGGCUAAACCCCAACAUCGCCGAAUUUUACUAGAGGUACAGAUGUAGACUACAGUACAACGGGGACGAAAUACCUGUAAGACAAUAGAAGCUAAGAAGCUGCACGCGUAUAUCAAGGCAGGCACCUGCAUUGCAAACAUGCAGGACGUCAACACGAGCUUCCGAAUUAGCACAACCACAGACUUCAAGUUUGAAUGUAAGUAAAUUUAUUUUGUAAUUUGUACUUUGUAAUUCUUGCUAGCCAUUGUGUAGCAAGGAGACGAGGGCUAACCACAGCCUUGGACGAUUCUUCCAUGAGAAGAUCAUCAAUGAGGUAGAAAGGCAAAAGCGCCUGCAGUUCCAACACAACUUCAAAAUGUCAAGAUAAUUUCCCAAAUGUGCCUCUUGCAUAUUAAAGCUAAGCGAAAAAAAGUCGUAUGAACAUGUGAUGCUAGCACAUUAAGAAAUUGAACUUACCUGCGAGACGUUAGUGGUGAGCCGCGUGAGCAUGUAGACAGCCGCGACUUGAUAGUAGAGCAACUUUCCGAACCAGACUUUGAAGCUUGUUCUGGAAUUGCAUUCCUGGCUACCCUCCUUGUGAUGCGAAAGACUUGGUUCUUUCACUCCAAUUUGAAACACUACCACAAAGCAUAUUCCCACAGCGAUGGCGGACCCUGCUAUCCAUUUGAACUGAGUCUCAACAUCACAGACUUGCUUAGAUGGCAGGAUUCGGAACACCAAAUACGCGAUCACGUACAACCCGAGAUUUGCAGCCAUUGUGAAUGCAUUUCUGCAGCUGUUGAGGGAAACUUGGCUGCUUUGGUUUGAAGUAAUACAGUUCACCAAGGACCUGUCAAAAACCACGCAAACUUGCUUCAACCAACUUCACAUAAUUCUUGGAAACAAGAACAAACCUCGUAACAAAAACCAGCCGCAAUACACGUUAGGGACGAGCGACGGUCGCGAGGAAGAAGACCUACAUAUGAGAAACUUGUGUGGCAGCCCAUCCGACGUUGAAGAUAGCUGCAAAUGCGCUGUAACCAAUAGUGUGAGCAACGGCGUAGUUGUUACCGAGCAAGGCACACGCCAUGCAUCCCCCGAACACGGAAGAAAAGGAAACGGCCACGAGGAGUGACCCUCCAGCGUGCCAGAUCUUGAAGUGACCAAAGGUGUCGAUCUAUGAACAGACACACAAGGACAUUAAAAAGUCAACUCUAGCAAGUAAAAUCCACGAAGCUGGAAUUGGGAAUAAGUUGCAAUUUUUUAAAUACGAAGAUGUCCCAAACACGUUGUAAAACCGUUGGAAUCAAUACGUCAAAUUCCACUCACCAUUUGGCCCACAACAACGGUAGCAAUGGCGUCAGCUAUCUGACCUGAAAGCAUCACCGUCGCAGCUUCCCUGCAAAGUAUCAAAAUCAGGAUUUAGGCUAUGCCUCUGACACCACAAGUACCCUGUGAAGAAAGCUAGAAAUGAUCACAUCAGAAGGAAGAGGUAUUACAGAACAGAGGGUAAAUUUAGUAAGAACACUACCGAGGCGAAAGCCCAAUGUCCGUGAGGAAGAUCAAAAGAUACGUGAACCAGCAAGCUGCUGUGAGGUCAUUGAGCAUGUGACCUGUACCAUAACACACGAUGGCUUUGCGAGGCAGGGGCUCCGAAGAUGGCCCCAACUCUGGAACUUCGUUCGCCAUCGCUGAACGCAACUGGGCUUCGUCCACCUCACCGGAAUUUACUCGCAACCCCAUCGAGCCUACGCUAUUGUCACGAUCAGGUUGUCAACAUCUGCUGGAAGCUGCUCCGUUCUCGAAAAUCGUCAUCACAGCGCUCAGCACGAAAGAAUGACAAAUGUGUGACGCCUAUAGAUUACUGUACACCUGGCAAAUGAAUCCUUCCUGAAGUAAUUCCAGCGUAAAACAUUGUGAAAAUAACUCCAAACCUAAAAAAAUCAAGAAUUCGGAAACGCUCUCGAGCGAAAACUGGAUCCUGUGUUCAAAGACAAGACCACAAGCUUCAUCAGCAGGAGCAGACCAUAACUAACUGACGUAAGAAUUUUCCAACAAUUCUAUAAGAAUUAAGCCACAUGAGCGAACGAAGCUUGAAGAAACUUGACAUCGGAGCCAGAGCGUUCAUGAAUCGCCACGCGUGAAAUUUAUCAAAAAAAAAAAAAAAAAAAAAAAAAAAAAACGGACGAAUUACAACACCAACAGCAAUUAACAACGACCACGGUCAGGCGAGGGAGAGGACACGAACUGUAAUCUCCAUAGAAACUCGAAAUUAAAAUGCAAGCGACGCAGAGACACAGCAACAACAAACCUCGCGUCAACAAGAAGCAAGCAAUUCAGCAGAAUUCUCUGACGCUCGCGUGGCUGCAAACAAGACUGGAAGACGCAGAAGCGGCGCACAUCGAGAUCCUGGAAUCACCACCACGAACCUCUGCGAGUCUCCGUGGAGAUCGAAGGGCAGGUGCCUGUUGCAGGCAGCAGCAGCAACAGCACUGGGCGGGGGCUGGGCUGGGUUUGGGGGCACCAAGAAGGCACGGUGACCGGGCCGUGGCCCUACUUCCGCGCGGUGAAUGCGCGGGCUAAUUGCGGUCCAUUAGGUUACACGUGUUGCUAGUCAAAUCCCACUUGGCAGCUUGUUUCUCGUUUCGUUGUUCCGGAAAGUCUUGAAAAAGUAUCUGAAAUGCCUCACAAAAAAACGUUUGACAGAUUUACAGAAAUAUCCCGUGAUUUUUUUCUUUUCACGUUAAAUCUGGCGAUUGUGCACGAGGUGGUCUAUGGAAACCUUUGCGUGUGGCGGGUGAUUAUGCUGAAGGGUGACGAUGAGCUACGUGAGUGAGUUGUAAUAUAUAGGAAGAUGGAUGCAUUUGCAUAUGAAUGUAAGGAUUAAGUCAACAUUGGUUUUUUUCUUUUUUUUUUUGUCUUUUUUUUUUUCUUUCUUUCUUUUGUUUGUUUGUUGUUGGUGAGCUACAAAGUCGAUAAUACCACUUUAACUUUAAGUUGGAAUUUGAUAUAGUCAUGAAUUGUAUAUUGAGAUAUUUAUAAUGAAUUUAUUUAGUUAUUUAUUUAAUAACUUCUGAAACACCACUCAAAUAAGUAUAUAGUUAUUUAUUUAUUUAUUUAAAGAGGAGAAUGUUAAAUCAACCCCCACAUUUACUAAAUUGAUCCACCUAUCAAAACCAUCAUUAUACCUCCAUUUUCCAUCCAUUGUUUUCUAUUUCAUCUCAUUAUGAAUGGCAACAAUAACCUUAAAUAUACAUGUUUCUUUUUAUAAAAUUAUUUUGUAACUAAAAUUUUAAUAAAGUUACAUUGCAAUCUUCUAAUUGUAAUUAAAAGAUAAUACAUCUUAUUUUAAUUUAAACAAUGUUGGAUUACUUGAUUGUAUUUUCUAUACUUGUAGAAUCUAAAAAAUAUUUGAUAUAAAUUUAAAAUAUGCAAGUCUUUUGAAAUAGACAUCAUGUGUAAAAUCCAUAAACGCUUUGAGGUUUAGAAUUGGUUUAUUAAGUAAGAAAUAUGAAUUGCUUCAAAAGUUGUAUAUCAUUUUUUAUAAAAUAAGAAUAGGAAGAAGAGACAAGUACUAAAAACAAUAAUAGGAGGUUGAAAUAGGAACAAUAGGAAUAGAUGAAGAAUUAAGACAAGAAAUGGGUACUCAAAACAAGGAACAAAGAUAGGGGAUAUAAAGAUGGUUUUGAUAAGUGGAUUAAUUUAAUAGAAGUCAAGGUUGAUUUAACAUUCUUUUAUACAUAUAUUGUUUAAAAUAUAUUUUAAUCAAAUCUAUUUUAAAAUUUAAAAUUAAUAAUAAAAAUUAUUAAAAAGUCAUCAUCUCUAUGUCAUGCAUUCAUCAAAAACUUCAUAUUUUACAAUUGAACUACCAACUAUUCUUUUAUAGAAUAAGAAAAUUAUAUAUUAGAUGUAAUAAUAGUAGUUGUAGUUAAUGUCUUUCCCAUUUAUUGCUUAACUUCCUUGCUUCAAAAUUCCAUUAAUGAGAUUUUCAUCUCCUUCAUCUUUAGAUUGAAUGGAAAGAGAGAGCCAUUGAAUCUUGUUAAUGGAUUGUUUUUCUUAUUGGCAAAUGAAGUAAUAAAACAAAAACUUUACUUCCAUAAAGUAUCAACAAAUUGGUGCCAAAAAUUUCAUUCAUUUAUUUUUUCUAUCUUUGGAAAACAAAUUUGGUAAGUCCAUAUCUUUUUGGUCUAUCUUCAUCCCAAUAAAAACAAAAGGUAAGGUACAAAAGGAAUUUAGAGGGCCUAAAUCACAAAAAUGAAGCAAGAAUCUAGCUUAAUUAUUAUGCCAUAGGAAAUUAGGAACACAAGCUUAGAUGCUUGCAUGUAGUUGCAAUAAGAUUAAGUUUUAUCCUAGCAUCAUCUAUCAUCUUUUGAUACUAGAAUGUCCAAUAGAAUGUAGAGAUCAACUUUCUUAUAAUAUUGGGAUUGGGAUUUAACAUUCUUUUAAUAUAUUUGUGUUUGUUCUUCUCUUUAACUAUUUUUUAGUAUUUCUAAUAAGUUUGUUGUUGAUGUGAAGAAAGCUUCAAGGUUUGAUUUUUGAGGUAGUCAAUCUUUUAGGAUUUAAAGAUGUAUACAACUCUUGGAUUUUGCCAAUUCUAUUAUCUAUAACCUAUUAUCAACAAGGUUUGGAGUCUUCAUUCAGUUGUUAAGCUUGGAUGCAAUACAUUAGCACUACAAUGUUUCUAUUUGAUCUAGAUCAAGUAACUUUAUCCAUAUUCAAUUGUUUACUUUAUAUUUUUUGUAGUUUUAGAUAUCCAAAAAAUAGCCUUUGAAUUUAUGUCUACAAUUUAAUACUUGUAUUUAGAAUUGUUGUUUCAUGAAAUACUACAUCUAUGUAGAAUUUCUUAUUGCUGGAAGCAAGUGAGUGCAUGUUAUCUUCUCCUCAUUUUGUUGGUGGAAAUUUUUAUACUAUGGAAAUAAAAAAUAGCUUAUUUUAAAACUAUUUCUUAGACCUUUCUCUCUUCAUGUGUUGAUUAUUGUUGUAAUUUAAUUUCAUUAGCAAGUUGAUGCAUUGUAGUAUGUUUAUGUCAAGGACAUGAAUCUUGAAGAAAGAGAAUCCUCAAUACACUCUUUUAUUACUAAAGAAAACUACAAAGUCAUUCAAAAGAUGAUGUAAUAUUAACUAGAAUGGCUAUUGUCAAAAACAAGAAGAAUAGAAAGUCUUGAAACAAGACUAAGACUAGAAAGGCAUUGACAAGAGUGAAGAAUGCUUCAUUCUUGCUUCUAUAUAUACUAUGUAACUAAGAGCUACGUGGCGAUGUCCUAUAGGACCUCCAACAUAUGUUGACUUUGCUAGUUACAUGUUUUAUCUUGCAAGGCAAGUUAUCUAUGUAUGCGCCAUGUAGUUGGCUUGUUCCACAAGCUAUUAUACAGAGAUAACCUGUUCCACAAGCUACUACACGGAGAUAACAUGUUCCACAAGCUACUAAUACAUGGUUAGCUUUUUGGCCAAGUUUCUAACCUACAAACACAUCUAAAGUCAAAACCGUGUCUAUAAAGCUUCUAGAAAGCUUCUCUAAAAGACUUUGUGAAAUUAUUCUAUAUUUACCUACUUCUACUUAAUCAUAUAAGUAACUAUUGAGAUAAAUGUAUAUGUCCAUGACAGUUCAUUGGUUGUAUUCAUUAUAUUCUUAUAAUAUCUAGAUAUGAACCUAUUUGAAUUACUUUAUGUAAUAGUAGAUUGAGACAACUUUGCUAAUAAAAAUUAUUUUGCAUGGAUUUUUAUUAAUUUCAUAUCAUAAUUAAGUCUAAAUUUUCUUUCUCUACAUCUUAGCCUCAAAUUGAAUUUGAGCUAAUAUUUUGAUUUUUUAAAUAUAGCUUAUUAUUUAUACUAUAUAUAUCUAAAAAUCAUCAAAGCAAUUGUGAAUUAUUUUUUUUCUUUCAAAAUUCAAACUCAAAUAAAAUAAUAUUACUAUUUUGUUGAAUUAAAAAAUAUUUAGGUAUCUCAUUGGCUCAUCUACAUCUUAUUAAUAUUAUUAUGUUCUUCUUUGUUCUUUCAUUGUAAUAGUAUUUUCUUGCAAUUAAGACUUCCUACAAUCUUUAUGUACUAGUGACACAUUUUUUGUUCAAGUUAAUAACAUGAUAUGGAUUGAAAACAAAUGAUUAGGGAAUUAAUUAAUAAAGAUGAUUAGUAUGAUCUAUAUUAAUGGAAAGAGUUGUAUUAAGAGGUUAGUUCUACCAUUUCUUUGUCUUUAAUUUUUUUUGAAUAAUCGGGUGCCUCAAACCUUAAUUUUGUGUUUUUCUUGAAAUAUAAUCAUUGUGUCAAUCCAACUGGGUCCUAAUUCUUUCAAUCUUCAAUGUUAUGAUUCUUCUAUUAUUUGAGUUUAAUUUGUGAUCUUGUACUAUCUAGUCUCAUGUAUUAGUUGGAUUCAACGGAAAGAAGAAAGCCAUAUAUAAGACAACUAUGACUAAUAAUAAGAGAUUGUAGAGUACAAUAGAGAGACUUAGAGUCAAUACCAUUCUAGAAAUUAAAGAAAUCAAUAUUUUCUUGGCUGAAAAUGUUAUCCAUUUUGUAAAUCCUAAAGGUUAGCAUUUGUUUGAAAUUUAUCUACCUAAAUGAUUUCCAAAUAGCUUUUAUUAUGCACAACUUUGAGAUUUAGAAUAAUCAUCUUAAUUGGUGUGUGCAAUUUAAGCUUGUAUUGUAGCCAAUACAUAGGUGAUGAGAGGACCUUCUCAAAUCAAAAAGCUUGAAGACUUUUUGGCGAGUAUCUUCAAUCAAUUCAAAUUUGACAACUUAGAAAACUUAAAGAAGCUUCAACAAAUGUUCUAGAGGAAGAAUAAUCUCGGAAGAAAAGUAGAAGAAGAUGAUAAUGUACCAUAGCUAAUAGGAGAGACAUUUGAAGAUGCUACCAAAGAAGAACUUGCCAAGUAGGAAGUUCUCAUAUAGCAAACAAAUGCCAUCACUGAUUCUCCAUGAGUUGUUUUGGGUGCAUGUUUAUUGUUCUAUAUACUUUUGUGACUAAUAUUUAUGCAUUGCAAUGCUUGAAUAACCAACACAAUUCUUACUUAUCUGAAAGUUAAUGUAUAUAGUAUUUGCACAAGUUGUAUGGUUUAGAUGUAGCAAUUUUUGUUGUAGUGCUAUUAAAAGUCAUGAUAUCUUGUCUUUGACAACCAACUUUAUUUGAGUCAUUUUCUUGCUCUUUGAGAGUAGGCAUUUACAACAUCAUGUUGCAUUUAGAAUGCAUAUAGAUCAUACCUCAAGGGCUACAAAAAUGAUUCCAAAUAAAUUUAUUGUAAUGGCAAUCCAAAAAAUCAGCUGCACCCUUAUUGGCUCUUAUUUGAAAAUCAAAAACAUAAUACAUUAAUUGUAUUGUCAAUUUAGAAAUUGAUUAUAAUACCAUAAGAUUAUGAUAUACAUAUCCAUAUAUUAAUACAUGAAAUAUAUGAAUUUGAUCUUUUUUUUUCUAAUACAACAAAAUUUAUGUUACAAUCAUACAAGUAGCAAUAUUAUUUUACAAAUCUAAUAUAAGGUAGACGAGUUCUUUUUUGUAAAAAAAUAUUUAAUUUCUUCUAUGUUUAAAAAACAAUAAUAAAAAGAAAAAGAAGUGAAUCAUAUCAUAAUUUUAAUAUUCAAAUACAUAUAGAAAGUGGUUACGGAUUUGAAAUCUUUCACUUUGUAAUGAACAAAUAGAUGUUGCCAAAAUACAUGGAACAUAGCAUCCCUAAACAAAUCUAAUAGAAAAGAGAAUAAAUGUUGAAGACUGCAAUGAUCGUUCCUUGCAAUAAUUUUCUUUUCGAGCAAUUGUAUGCUUUUAGUCUUUAUUUGAUUUUAUCUCACUACAUGAAAAUGGUUUCAUGGGAAUCAAAAAGUCCUUACAAGUACAUUAAUACCAAAAAUGCUAUUCAAAUAACUGGUAAAAUCGAUCUCGAAUCAUAUGACCAUUGUACAUCGAAAGGUAGUUUAUAAUCACAAACAUAAUGAUCUAUUUACACAUUUACUAUUGAUUAAUUGUCAUAUAUAUAGAGACACACACACACACAUACACUUGGCAACCACUCGACAACAAAUAUUUUAAUCCGUGAACAACAACCCAUGCAAGGUUUGCUUUGUAGAAAAUAGUUAGAUUACUUUAUUUAAUUUUUAAAGAUUUCACUCGUUUUCAUCUAAGCAUGCUGCCAUUGUCCGCUGUGCACCCAGUAGCCAAGACUCUAGUAUCCAAAUUCCAAACUUUUGUAAACAAAAACAAUGGAGCAUUGAAAUCACACAGAACGAAAACUGUACAAAACAUGAAGCCGAAACACAAAUGCAGUAGUGAUGGGAGAAUCUCACACCAGGGAAGCAAUCAACAAUGACAAACCUUUACAUGAUCGUUGGAGAUUUAUCCCACAAUUACUCCGCAACCAGAAUCGAAUGUGAGAAUCUAGUUCAUUUCCUGGGGAAGAUUGAUGGCCUGCUGCGUUGUGACCUUCAAACGGGAAGAAUAGGUACAAAAAAGAAUGGAGGAAUGUUGGCACACCUGUCAGGCUUCCAUCACCACGUCGGUGAAAGCGCCGCAACCAAAGAAUCUGUGUUUGUUUGUGUAUGUGUAGAUGAGGUAGGCUUGAUGGAUCCAUUGCAACGAUGAUGCUUGCUCGCCAAAUGCACUAACGUGUGCAUCAGAAGAGGUCGAGGUGCAGCUUUCGUUGGUCUUGCUUCCACUUGGGUAAGGUGUAGAAUUGUACUUUGCUCAUGCCAAACACGGACAGAAACUCUUCCUCGGACAGAUAAGUCUGCAAGCAGGUGGCCAAAAGAAUCGGUCAGAGGAGCUCAUCAUCUUGCAGAAAAUUGGACUAAAAAAACGGGGCUGGGUUUCUGACCUCUCUCUUCGUGGGGUCGAUGUCUGCCGAAGCAUCUGUGGAGGAGGACUUCAUUUGCUCGUAGGUCAAAGUCCUAGGGCACGUAUCGUCUUUAAAUGCUGCACUCACAGACGUGACUCUGGGAGAGUUUGAAGGAGACUCCGUCUCACCAAGAGCACGCACUUUCAUUGCAGGAGAGGACAAUGCAACCCAGUUCCCGUCUGCAAGUGGAACGACUCGAUGGAAUUAGGAAUUCAAGGUUAUUUGGAACCUUCGUUCAUCGCACAAAUCCUCGCUGACUUUCAUGUUAUGAAUACAUGGUACAGGAUAAUAGGAAAACACAAAUAGAUUGUGAGAAGGUUGAUGUGAGGUACCAACGAUCGUGUCAUCUUCCUUCGAGUUGAGGAUUGAAGAAAGGGCUUUCAUAGCUGCGUCCCUUUGUACAGGACUCGUGUGAAUGUGUACAAACCCAUCUUCGGUUACGCUAUCUGCAGAUGGCACUCCCAAGACUUCACCCUCGCUAGGGUCUGAACUUAACGGAUCAAGGUCUGAGGGCGAGGGAAUCGUUGAUGUUGCCCUUUGACUGGAAGUCAUUUUAGUUUUUAUAUUUUCUGUGGCUUGUUAUGUUUUCGAGCUCUGCAAUAAAUCUCAGAUUAGAAUACGUGCGAUCACAACUUUCUGGAUCCGAUUCAGAACAGUUUGAAGAAUAGAGACAUGCUGCAUCCUGCACCAAAUCUUUGAGAAAAAAAACUUUGGAUGCGGAAGGCCUUAGAAAUUGAAGUAUCACUCAGAUGUCAUGUCACGGCCUAUGCAUGCCAGAAUGCACACAAAGUAAAUAAAUAAUGAAUAUACGAAAUCAGUAACUUCUUCUGUAUUUAUUCAUAGCUUUGGUAAGCUCCCUAAGACCUUGCAAGAACUAAAGUUUCCAAACGAGAUGUUUAACGAUUUAACUACAUCGGCAGAGGAACACAACCCUACUCACUGUGUCAAUCCAGUCAAUCGAGCAACCUCUACAAUCUUGGCCAAUCCCACCAAGAGAACGAAAUUCCGAACCAAAGUAGGUAUCAAUGAUCGCUCCUUUAAUCGUAUACUACGGUGCAGGUUGUGAUUCUCCACACGACCAGAAAUAGCACUCGAUGCGAGCUUCUCGUUUAAUCGGGCCACGUAUACCAAGGAAUCAAAUACUCACAAGCACGCUUUUCAAACUCUAAAAUGGCGAAAACAUUGGGAUUAGAAACGAAGACACUCAGAUUCUCAACUCCACAAAACGAAUCGAAGUAACGCGAAAUUGGCGGCGCACCUGCACUGCACACCGCAACAAACACUUGCCGGCAGUGCCGCGAAUCGCCAGGAGUGAAAACACCCUCGAUCGCUGCCAAACCUCCUAAACACAAAACUGGACCACUGAAAACUCCCACGUCGAAAUCAUGCCAUUUCGUCCUCUAACCCAACACCCUUGCAACUCAGACCAAAACAUAGCGACAAUCGCGCUCAACAAAACGCCGACUAAAAGACGUCAACACUACUCAAAGUACGCUUCACACAAUCCAUGCAAACCUUUUACAAGUGAGAGAGGAAAAUCUUCCGCCGAUCCUACGGUGAAUCAGUAUUCUCCGCAAGGGAAGCGUGUACACAACAACACCCCUCAGGCUCCUUCCAUCUGCCGCAACUCUUCCUGAUCGAACUCGGCAAGCAAAUUUCAAAAGCAACAAGUGCCGAGAGAGCUGCACAAUCCUGGAGGAGGAGACGGAGGCAAUCUGGCUGACCCGAUCGAGGCAAUUGUCCCGGAGCUUCGGGUGCAGUGGAUCUACCGACGUGUAUCUACAAAUUCUCCAGAUAAAAAUCGGAAUUCGCACUCAGUGAGAUUGAAAUUCCCCAAUUACGGCAUUAACUUGUAAUUUUAAACCAAAAUUGAAUCAAUAAUGACGUGCAUCGUAGAGGGGGAACCAAUAACUGCUCGGGGACACCUUGGGAACGUGUGCGUACUGAUGCCCGCAAGGGAACCGCAAGGAGAACGACUUGGGAACAACAAAGUUCCAGGGGCUCCGCCUGAUGAAACGGCGGGUGGGAAGCGUUUCGAGUUCCGGAUUCCCAGUGUUCCUCGACCCCGCCGACUGGUUGGCGUGCUACCGGGUGACCCGGUGAAUCACCGGUCUUCUUCCUCCCCUCGUCACGGUCUGUGUGCCUCCAGGGUUUAGUUGAGCGAGUUCCCGACAAAGCAUUUGACAUUAUCGAGCGCGCAAGCUUGCCGUGUUGUGGUACUUGCACCGGGAGAAGGAAGGUGGAGACUGUGGGAGUCGAGUGAAAGUGGAAUCGAGGAAAUCGGUGGAGUGUGCAGGGUUUUCUGGAUGUUUUGAUGCGCCUCAGCUGCGAGGUCUGUAGAUCUCCGAGUUGCAUUUGUAGAUGUUUAAAUUGUAUGGGUGGAAGGAUACUCCUUAGGUUUUAUUUGCGGUCUUGAGGAGAUUUCUGAGUCUUUGGAGAACUUCGGUGUGGGGUAGCGUGGUGUAUUUUGAGUAGUGUAGGGGUAUGAGUCAAGCUUCCUCGUUCGGAGUGAUGUUGUGUUGAAGUAGGAUCGCGUGGAAUCGUGCUUUUUAUUGCUAAUGAAUGAUGUGCAUUUUGAUUUUCAAGCGGUUUUGAAACGGUGUUCUUGUGUAGAUGACAUUCUUUGUUCUUCCUGGAAACGCAGACGUGCUGUAUUCUUCUUCCAUUGAGUGGCGGGAUGCAGUGCGAAUUAUAACCUUGUUCCGGAGGAUUUUUGUUGCAGCAUUGUAUGGGACAGAAAUUCGAUCCGUUAAUUUCACCAACUUGAAUCGUUGACAAACGAACGAAACGAGUGCGAGAUACUUUGUGGAGUCCGCGCUUGGUUUUUUUAAACUUCAUUUAAUUUUUUUAGCGUGGAAAGAGCAACUCAGCAUCGAGAGAACGACCUGGAUCUCUUGCAGGGGGGAGAGGCCCCCAAUCCUCUAAUUUCUCGCAGGUUUUCGUCGUCCAACACAAUGAUGGGCAUGGAUGAUGAUCAUAGGAUGGAUGUGGAAAACCCAUUGAUGGGUUCCUAUCAGGAGAAACCGAGGACAUUUUCGUCUUUGAAAAACAAGCCUUUCUGGGUACACCUUCUCCUAAUCCCUUGAUUCAUUCGAGUUGAAUCUUAGAUCCCCUUCCUACAAUGUUCACUGAACCAUUCAACAUAUUCAAUGUGCAAACCUUGUAAGAACACCUUGAUUUAUUAACAUUCUGUCUCUAUGUUGUCGUAUUAGGAUUUCUCAAUUCAGAGCACAUACCAACUCGUCCCCCUUGUUUUUUGCAGCUCGUACAGACGGCUCUCAGACUGGACAGACGCGUCUACUACCUCCUUGCUCUGUUUACUGUGUUUUUCUUGUUCUACAUUGGGUCACAAAGCUCUCCGAUCAUCUUGUUUGUCUUCACAAUAUGCAUAGGCAGCUUGGUGUAUGCAAUCUACCUCGCAAGUUGGGUUCUUGCAAAGGACGAGGGGCCGCCUGAGAUGAGUGAGGUACCGUGAUGAACUCUGAUGCCUUUCUUAAUAAUGCAUGUGACUGUUUCCGUUCUUCAGUCUUUGUACUUCUAUCUGUAGUUCAGUCCAAUGAGGUGGUCGAAGAGGGCUAUUAAAUUUCGGUUCACAAGAAAUUUCGUCUGAUCUCGCGGAGAGGAGUGGUAGAGAAGCUGGACCUGGUUCAUUCUUAGUGUUUAAUUUGCACAAGUUGUGCUGUUCUUACAGUAAUUUUGAACAACUAUUUGGUAGGCAAUUAUAUUUUUCAAUGCUUCUCUACGCAGAUAUCCGAUGCAAUCCGAGAUGGAGCAGAAGGAUUCUUCCGCACACAAUAUGGAUCCAUAUCUAGAAUGGCAGGAGUUUUGGGGUUCGUCAUUCUUGGAAUCUACAUGUUCCGCAAGUCUACACCAGAACAAGAGGCUGCUGGACUUGAGAAGUAAUCUUUCUCUUCACAAUCAAGUUUUAGCCUUGUAUUGUUAAAGAUAAGCCAGUUGAACUGGAGAAAGUGAUUUUCAUGUUUGCAGUAUACAUGGGUGACGUUCUUUCGUAGUUCCUUUUUAGAGUGACUACUGAUUGUAGCUGAUAUUAUGAUUCUUACAGGUCAACGUUGGCUUUCAUUACUUCUCUAUCCUUUCUAUUGGGAGCUGUUUGUUCGGGUAUUGCUGGCUACAUUGGCAUGUGGGUGUCGGUCCGAGCCAAUGUGCGUGUGUCUAGCGCUGCUCGGCGCUCUGCACGAGAGGCGCUCCUGGUUCGUGUUUCUUUUGCUCUAUAUCGUUUUUGCAGUUCAACUUCCUUUUUAUACUGUAGUGACGUUAUUUAUAACCAGAAAUUUAGUUGUUUACUCGGCAGGUAGCAUAGACUAUAGAAAUUGCUCUGAAGUUCUUAGUUACAUGAAAAUCAAUCCACCAUGACCUUCGCGUUAGACGGAGAUGGUCUUCAACCGCAGCCAUUAUGAGAUCAUUGCUGGAUAAGAUCGUUAGUUAUUGCUGUUGCUUCAGGGUACAGUGAGAAAAAGGAUAGGUUUGACUCUUAGACAUGGCAAUAUUAACUUUAUUUUUGCUCUCAGAAAAACGUGUUAGUUGUAUGUUAUGUUAAAGAUGCACAUAGUCUCAUAAUGUGUGUUUGUGGUGAUAAUGGCAGGUGGCUGUGCGUGCUGGAGGCUUCUCCGCUCUCAUUGUGGUUGGAAUGACAGUAAUGGGAGUUGCAGUGCUAUUCGCAUCCUUCUAUGUCUUCCUUAGUGUUGAUACUAUUCAUAACAUGAAGAUGACUGAGUGUGAGGGGCCUUACUUUUCUUUCCUAUUUUGUGCGCCUAAAACUUGUUUUGAGCUUGGUGGAUUGACCUAGAACAACUUCUCAUGAUCACAUUCAGAGGAUUUGUAUGUGUUCAUUAAUGAUGUUUUCCAUGUUGCAGUGCCUUUGCUGCUGGUUGGCUAUGGUUUUGGUGCUUCGUUUGUUGCGCUCUUUGCACAACUAGGAGGGGGGAUAUAUACAAAAGCUGCAGACGUAGGUGCAGAUCUGGUGGGUAAAGUGGAACAAGGGAUCCCUGAAGAUGAUGCAAGGAAUCCUGCCGUAAUUGCUGAUCUGGUAUGUGUAAAUGCGUUCUUUUCUGUAUCUGUAAGUGUCUAGUCGUGUCUGUUUUACUUCAGCGUUGGUUCUAGUCCUCUCUAUACUUGCAAUGUCAAAUAGAAUUUAUUAAAAAUUUAGUACGUCUAUUGGCAGUCCAGUUAUUGAAGCCUGUACAUUGGAGCAGGUCGGAGACAACGUGGGAGAUUGUGCUGCCCGUGGUGCGGAUUUAUUUGAAAGUAUUGCAGCUGAAAUUAUCAGUGCCAUGAUUCUUGGUGGCACCAUGGCCAAGCGCUGCAAACUAGACGGUAAGUUUCCUUAUUGUGUUUGUGUGUUUGAAGUCCGAUAUAGUGUUCUUUGUUCUGCUGCGCAGGAUCUUGUCAUCUUACAAUCCAUACACCACUAAUUUUCACUGACUCGCUUUUUUGCAGAUCCAUCUGGGUUUAUCCUCUUUCCCCUGGUUGUACAUUCAUUUGAUUUGGUUGUAUCUGCUAUCGGGAUUGCUUCAAUCAAAGGCACUCGAGACCCCAGCUCAAAGUCACUCAUUGAAGAUCCUAUGAUCAUUUUACAGAAAGGAUACUCUGUCACGCUCUUCUUAGCGGUGUUAGCUUUUGGAGGAGUGAGUACUCUGCAGUUUCUAAAUUUGUGCACGAUGAUUUCUUUGUCUUGAUAACUUAUGCACCUUAUUUUGCUUUUUAAAUUUCGUAGCAUACAGAAUGCUAAGCGCCGGGCUGAAGGAUUUUAAAUUUUACACACAUGCAUUGUAUCAUCUGAAAAUGGCAUAUUGACCUGUUCUGAUACUUAAUUCUUAUGGCUCAUGCAGUCAACAAGAUGGCUUCUCUACACUGAACAGGCCCCUUCGGCUUGGUUUCAUUUUGCUCUUUGUGGGCUGGUUGGUAUUGUUACUGCAUACGUUUUUGUUUGGAUCUCUCAGUACUACACCGACUACAAGUAUGACCCAGUUCGUCAGGUGGCCCUGUCGAGCACAACGGGACAUGGAACCAACAUCAUUGCAGGUUUUUUUUUUGUAUUUAUUUAUUUAUUUAUUUAUUUUUGUUCAUAAAAUAUUUGAGUUGUUAGAUUUUAUUUGCAGGGCGUUUUUCUUUUUCCUAAUACUGAUGGGUGCACAAAUGAGCCAUAUCAUGUAAUGACUGAAUAUAGAUCUUUUAUGUAGUUAGUUCUGGCAUCUGGUUCACUUCGACAUUGCUUUAGUAACCGUGAAAUUUUUAUUCAAUAUGAGAACUUUUUACUGUCUCGGAGUAGUUGACUUACAGCUCCUUAAGGUGAUAAUACUUGCAUCCUUAUCAGUCGCUUUUUAGAGUAACCAAAAAUAGUGAAGCAUGAAGUGAAAAGGAGGUUUAAUUAAGCCGUCAUUUCUCUGGAGCAGGUGUGAGUCUUGGCCUUGAGUCAACAGCAAUGCCGGUUCUUGUCAUCAGCCUAUCUAUUGUCACCGCGUACUGGCUUGGAAAGACAUCUGGACUUCAGGACAAUCAAGGAAUUCCAACUGGAGGGCUCUUUGGAACAGCUGUAGCGACUAUGGGCAUGCUCAGUACUGCGGGCUAUGUGUUGACGAUGGACAUGUUUGGACCCAUUGCAGACAACGCUGGAGGCAUUGUUGAAAUGAGUCAACAGGUAUGAGUGUAUAGGAGCGAUUGCACUUUUGGUAUAAGGGUAGUAAUGCUUAAUAUUUCUAUUUGGAGUUUUGCAUUGCUGAUUUGCUGAUUUGCUGUCUGCAGCCAGAGAGUGUUCGGGAGAUCACUGAUUUGCUGGAUGCAGUUGGUAACACUACUAAAGCAACUACUAAAGGUUUUGCCAUCGGCUCAGCUGCCUUAGCUUCCUUCCUUCUCUUCAGUGCUUACAUGGACGAAGUGUCUUCAUUUUCUGGCGUUGCCUUCACUACGGUAUGACAAAUUUAUGCUCCUGCAACCAGGGUUCAAUCACUGCAUUAGCUGGGAAGCAAAGGUUUUCAAGAUUGGAUUUAUGCAUAAGUAUGUAGGAAUUGCAACCGGUGGGGGCCUGUGGUAAUCGAAAUCCUCAUUGUUUGUGAAUUCAGGUGGAUAUUGCAAUCCCAGAAGUAUUUGUAGGAGGCUUGUUGGGGUCUAUGCUUAUUUAUCUGUUCAGUGCCUGGGCAUGUGCUGCUGUGGGCCGAACAGCUCAAGAAGUUGUCAGUGAAGUCCGCAGGCAGUUUUCUGAGCGGCCUGGUAUCAUGGUAAGGAUUCACGAGUUUACAAAUGCCUCUUCCAGUGCACUUCAGUUGUAAUGCUUAGGAACUUAAGGUUGGAUAUUUUCUUUAAAAUGGUCUUUUGAAUAUUAACAUUGGUAGUAGUACUAUUAACGGUAUCAAUCUUUUUGUACUGAUAGCAAAUCUGGUGCGACUUGUAGACGUACCAAGAAAAGCCAGACUAUGCUCGGUGUGUAUCCAUCGUUGCGGCUGCGUCUCUCCGUGAGAUGAUCAAACCAGGGGCUCUGGCAGUCAUCUCUCCAAUUGUAAUUGGUAAUGCAACUUUAUUACGAUGUUGUUGAGCUAGUUCUCAAGUGGUUGAACAAUCCUUGGAUACUGCUUUCUCGUCUGUGGUAUUCAAGAACAGCGUUUCUGACUGGUGUUUUAGUGCUGUCUUCGCUGUUUUUUGGUAUAUUCCUUCUAGAAAUGACACUUCCAGUAUCUCGUCUGUGUGAUUUUGCGCCUUCACUAAUGAAUGGCUGGUUGACGUUAUUCCAAGUGCUACUCUGACUGGGGACCUUGAAUUGUGAUUGUUUAGGUCUUGUUUUUAGGCUUGUUGGGCAAGCUACAGAUCAGCCGCUGCUGGGAGCCAAGGCUGUGGCUGGCAUGCUCAUGUUUGCAACGGUCUCAGGUAUCUUGAUGGCCCUCUUCCUCAACACUUCUGGAGGGGCUUGGGACAACGCAAAAAAAUAUAUUGAAAGCGGGGCUUUUGGUGGGAAGGGCAGCGACGCCCAUAAAGCGGCGGUUACUGGUGAUACGUAAGUCAACUUUCGAAAGCAACUGUAGGGUGCUGAUUGUUUGAAUAAUGUUUCAGUGGUGCGUCAUUUGCAUACCCAGUAAGCAUUACAGGUUUUUGGAAUGACUAAAAUGUAGUAGUUUGUUCAUUUAGUAUUUAACUUUCACGAAACGAAGUGAUACAAGUUUCGAGCUGAAUGUUUCUUCUGGAGACAGGAACUUAUCACAUUCAUUUUUGGAUUGCAGAGUUGGAGAUCCUUUUAAAGAUACUGCUGGACCUUCUCUCCAUGUGCUAAUCAAGAUGCUCGCUACCAUCACACUGGUCAUGGCACCGCUCUUCCUGGACAAUUGAAAAUCUACAGCCAGGCAAUUUUUCACUCAUUUGGAGUUUGUCGAGGUUUUGUUUUAGACAUGCUGUAAUUACUAUAGCAAGGCAAUUGACACUCUUUCGUCGCAGGCUUCUCAAAGCACCUUCAUCAGACACAAUCAGGUGAAAGUAGUAGCUGGUUUGGUUGUGAUAAGAGCUGCAAUGUUCUGAUGGAAGUAGCGCAGGUCCUAGAUUGUUGGGUCACGAUUUUAAUGGUAGUACUUCAUUUUAGCGAGGUGAUGGUUUUUUCCUAUUCUUAUAAGGAGAGUACAUUGUCGCUGAGUAAAUUGUUGUAUUGACGGGAAAGAAAACAUGCACAAGUUUCUACAGAUUACUGAAGCAGCAAGCGAUUAGGUGAAAGAGCUAUUCAUCUCGUGGAAAGAUCCGCCUUGACCCAUUUCGGGAUGUAGUAUUUUGAAAUUGGUGGUAUUAUUGAUUGUUGCCAAAUUUUGGUUGGAUGUGUUUGAAUUAUCGAUGUGUUUGAAGUAAUAUCUGGUUUGGAAUUUAAGAAUGGCAGCAUCACUCUUUUCAGCCCUGCCUCUGCAAGGCUUACAAGAUCAACCUUAGCUAUAUUUUGGAUGGGACUAGCGUCAUGUGACUCGGAUCAUCGCAUAAAAUUCUUAAGAUCUUAUUCGUGAAAUAAGUAUGGUUUCAUGUCUAGAAGUACAAUUAUCUUGCCUGAGUCAUCAUAUUUUUCCUGGUCGUUACUGCUAUUGAUCGGCCUCUGCGGGACUUCUCUACGAAAGUACAACCGGAAAGCUUUUGAUAAGCCAACUCAUUUUCGUAUUUAUUAGAGGAAUUCUGGUUUUUGCCUUACUUCCUGGUAAAGAUCUCCCAACAUGAAAUAGUGCGUCCCUUCUUGUUUCUUUUUAUUAGGAUAAUCAUUUAGCUUUGAAAUUUGACAUGACGAUCAAGGGUGGUGGCGGGUCACAAAUUGUAGACCUGCAACGAAAGCAGGCACAGCAAUAGAAAGAUUGAGCUCAAAAAUAGUCGGUUCCCUACAAAUUCUCUCUUUUGACAUUGAACCCCAGCGUAUCGGUGCAGUGCAGCCUUUCAACCAGUUUCUGAACCGCUGGGUCGAGGACAUCGAGCCUCUUAAUUAGGGUUGGUGGGAGUUUGUGGGGAUUGGGAAGCUUGCGGCGUUACAAUUUUUUCUCGUAUGCGCCGUCGUUUUAAAUAAUGGUUUGACGACCGAAUUCUUCCUGGGUACGAAGUGGAAAGAAAGAGCCUUGGCACACUUAGACGUAGAUGUUUCACCUUGACACUUCCAGAAUGAGGACCGGUUUUAAGACUUUGUAAAAUGUGGGCUACAGAGGAUGUGACAAGUCUUGAAGAAUCAUCGAACAGUUGCAACAUUGAGCAUGGUCCACACAUAUUGUGACGAUACCGUCAUGCUGAUGGGCAGACUUGGAUGUCUUCAACAUGUGAUAAAGCUCAAUGCCGCAGAGGCGAUUACACCAACAGGUCUGGUGCAUGCUCAUAGAAUAACAGAAUGGAGGAUGCAAAGUCAGAUUAGGAGCAUCAAUGCAGCACUACAAAGGAGAGAGGAUAAGAGAAUACUCAAAGUCAUAUAUAUACAUAUAUAUAUAUAUUUAUAUACCUAUGCUUAAAUACAUACACUUCCAAAUCUUUCAAAAAUGAUAAAGCUCACCUGAUGAACUGUAAAGAAUCGUGUUACAAUACGUUGAAUAAACACUCAACUUCAGAAAAUACAAAACAUAGGACUGAGAAAACUUUCAUUAAGUACCAUUGUAUAAGAAGUAGGUAUAAUAUUCAAGUGAAUACAUGAGCUAACAAUCAAUCUGAGCUACACAUCAGUUUUUGAUUUUGAUUUUCGAACUGGGGCUCUUCAAGAGUAAAUGUUACACGUACAUGAAACAUUUAAAUGGCUGUAAGAAUAUUCACAAAAGAUUCCAGUGGGAAGGUUUUCAAAAAGCAAGACCGUUGCGGUGUGAACGGGUCUAGGGGAGGAAGCCCUAAUUCGGGAGCCAAGUGUAGAAGGAGGGUGUGGUGGUACUCGCCAUGGGCAUCGAGGUCGCCGAGAGAGGAGGAGAGUGACCUUGCGAGAGACAAGGGCAGAGGAGGAGCUGCGGACUCUCGGCCAAUUUGUUACAGGAUGUGAACGCGCAAGCUAUCGUGCGAAGAAGCGGUUGCGUACUGUCUAGCGUUGGAAACACGACCAGAUGGCUCGCCUUUUCAAGGUCAGUUGACGGGAUUAUGCUCUACCCUCUUCAUAAUUCUUAUCCUUCAGUUUUGUCGUGUUUUUGCUGUGGAUUUAGGCGGUCUCGGUCGACUUUGAAUCGUAACGGUUUCGUAUUUCAACACAGGACGGAAGAAUCGUCGUUAGCCUCUGGUGGCAUUGAGUUUCGCGACGGUCUAUGUCCAUUGCUUCUUUUUUUCUGAAAUUUGCUUAUUGUUUGCGUCGAAGCAGCGUUUCGGUGUUGAGGGUUUUAUGAAAGAGGACUGAUGUGUGUUGGGCUGGCUGUUCUGUUGUCAGUUACUGACUCUUCGCUGUUUUCCUUUUGUAUUGGUAGACUUAAUCGGAAGUCGCUCCAGAAGAAUUGUUUGCGGUAGUUAUCAACGUGUUUACGAGAGACCUUGUUUUUGGGUUAUGUUCUGCUUGCGCAUGUGUGUUUUAGUGUAGAGCAUUACUUAGGGCUGUAAUAGGUUAUAGAAAUGAAUUGUGAUUUGUGCAGGUGUAAGUUAGUUCGCAGCUAUGAUUAAUUUUUUAGCUAACGAAAUUUGAAUUUGAAUGCACAUUGUAUUUGAGAUGAAAUAUGCGGGAUUCGUGUGAGAGAAAGUCUGCGUCCGCUUCAAGCGAAAACAAGACGAGAUUGAGAAGACGUAUGUUUGAGGAGGGAUGAAUUUAAUAUCGCGUUUAGGAAUCAAUUAGUGUGGCAGUCUUAAAAUGUUCGUUAUGUUAGCUUUAGUUUAUCCUCAUUUUACAGUGAGUAUAUACUUGGUUAAUUCUUGCAAUUCUGAGAUAGUGAGGACCAGGGAUGUGGCAAAGCUUGAGGUAACAAACACGUGGCAUGUCGAAGUGCUGAACGAUUUUUUCUGGCUGAAUGCAGAAUCCGGAUCAACUGUCGGCGUACAGAGAUCGUAGAUUUCUGGGAUCACAGGAUGAAUUUGAGCAUGCGCUUCGAACCUCAACCACAGUGUAUGUGGGAAACCUCUCUUUCUAUACCACAGAGGAGCAGAUCUACGAGGUUUUUUCUCGCACUGGGGAGCUGAAGAAGAUCAUUAUGGGUCUCGAUAAGAACAGUAAAACCCCGUGUGGUUUCUGCUUUGUUCUGUAUGUUCCUAAAAACCUUGACCCAAGCAUCUCGCGCCCGAGAUUAUCACAUAUUACUGCAUGACUUCUAAUCGUAUGUGCCAUAGGGAGUCCAACAGAUUGGUUUGCUCUUCUUCUUCUUCUUCUUCUUCUUCUUCUUCUUCUUCUUUCUCCUUCUUCAAUCCUAUACAAAUUUAAAAUUGUAAAUUGUGGCAUAUUGGAAAAACUUAAACGCAUGCAAGCUCAGGCUUUCAGACAGUCUCUGAGGGCUUUGCAUUGACAAGCUUCUGCGUGUUGUGUGGGAGUUAGAGGUUUCAAUAGUGUGAUUGUAGUGAUUUUACCAAGAUAGGAAUUUCAUAUUUUCCACGGUGCUUCUUUCCUUUACAGAUGCAUUUGAAUUUGGAGUUGCUGAUCACGGCCUUUACGAGGAAUAUAUUUUUUCAAUUGGAUAGGGUUGGAUUUUUUAGUUCUGAUGUUAAAGUUGAUUGGCUAGAUUCUAUACAAGAGAAGAUACUGAGGACGCUGUAAAAUACAUUAGUGGAACCAUUUUGGACGACCGACCUAUACGUGUGGACUUUGAUUGGGGUUUUCAAGAGGGUCGGCAAUGGGGUCGUGGAAGGAGUGGAGGCCAGGUUGUUAUCCUUACUUUUGUAGUGCUUUUAUACUAUAUUCACGAGUUCUUUUCCUGUAAUGUAUCUGACAACUGAUACUUGGGUGCGCAUCGAUGGGGAAUGCUUGUGAUGACAGGUGCGAGAUGAGUACCGUACAGAUUAUGAUCCUGAUAUCCUUAACUGCUGUGCUAUUUGCGUUCAUUGUUCCUUUCGAAGCUUUGUACUAUAGAUUUAUGUUCCUGCGAGCUCAUGAAAUACCAUAGGAAACCCGGUUCUCUGUAUAUUAUUGAUUGUGUUUUUCCCUUAAUUUAAAACAAUUGCACGGAGAGGAGGCUAUGGAAAGUUGGUACAGAAGGAGUUGGAAGUGCGGCGGCAGCUUGUGGAAUAUGACCAACCUGUGGGCAUGGGAGGGGUUCAAUAUCCUAAUCUGGGAGAAGGAGGUGGUGGAAAUGAAUUCAGGCGUAAGGAUCAUUACAUAUUUCUGCAAUCAGUAUUACUAUCACCCUACAAUCUGGGAAACGAGGCAGCUUGUUUCUUUUCUUUUCUUUUUUUUCUUUUUGGAAUGAGGAUUAACGUUUUCAUGUAAAAUUUAUUUGAUAAUAGUACCAGCUUUAAAAUUUGGAAAUAUUUACAGGUGGAAAAGACCGACAUGGCAAUGGAGGCAAUCGACAUAGAGGUGAGUUGUUUGAUUACAUCUAACACAAUGUUUUGCUAUUUCGUGAGUUCAUUCCAUCUCUUUUACUCUUUCAUGUCUGGGCUUUUUGCAAUCCAUCAGCGGAAAUUUCGCAUUUGAUGUCUUCCCUUCCUGAUUCUUUUUCAAUUUUAGUUCACUGCUUACCAACUUCAUAUUAUUACUACAUGUUGCAUCCAUUUGAGAAUGAUUACUUUUGAUUACUAUCUCGCUGAAAAGGUCUAAAGUUUACCUUUGUUGGGUGUAGAGGGGAGAAAGAGAUACAGAGAUGAAGAUGCUCCACCUGCAGAUGGUGUGAAGAGACAAGAUAGGGAACUGAAAGUUGUAAGUUGGUUGAAAUCUCAAGGGGCCUCAACAUCUCACUCUGCAGUUGUCUUAUCUUGUUCAAUCAAGACAGUAAAGACCGCGUUGAAGUGAAGGGUCAAUUACAUUUAGAUUGUAAUCAUUAUCAUCUAUAACAUCAUGCCACAUUUUUAGGCGUCUACUUGGUUUUAACACGGGUUUUUUGCAGGAAAAGAAUCCAAGAUUUCGAGAAAAGGGUGACUCUGAUGAAGAGGAUGGAGGGGAUGGAGGGAAAAGUUAGAGGUGGAUAUUUUGCUCUCUGUGUAUUUUAGGAAUAGCUGCUUCAUUCUAUUCUAUUCUAUGUGAUUUGAAACCUAGUUAGUUUUGGAUCUAGCCUCAGGCGCUGGUUGAAGAUAUAUUGGCUUAGCUUGGUUUGGGUUACCUUUUGGUUACCUUGCGGGAUUUGAGAAUUUUAGCUGUUUUGUCGUGCAGAUGUGAGUGCCAUUUAUGGCAGGAAAUUGUCUUCAUUUUGUGCUUCAGCAGCACAGAUCCUGGUUACAUAAUUCUCUUCAAAAACUGUUCUGGGUUUUUAGACAAGUUUCAACUGACUCAGAUCACAUGGGAGUUGCCAACUUUACUUGAAGCAUUCCAUCCUGAUGAUUUGAUGAAAACCAGCAGUUUAUCCUCGUUUUUACUGGAAUUUCAGAACUUCGUCAAAACACCUUUUUACAUUAUCUUUUGUAGCCACUUCUUAGCUACUCCAUUGACAUGAAUGGUCUUUAAAGCCAGGUGAAGGCUGUGAUCGUAUGUCAAUUCACAACUACAACCUUAUGUGCAGUAAACUUGUUAUGUGCAGGGAUUACCUGUCUCGAGAUAGUUGUGCCGGGUUAGGUAUCAGUUGCUAGGAUCAUUACAAGGGUGCGUUCAUGGAAUCCGGGUUGGAUUAUUACUGAUAUUUGUGAUUUAUAAUCAACCUCUUUGAUGUGCAAUUUUUUCCACGUUCAUUUUGAGCGAUUUGGGUACACCAUUUUCAUGAUUAGUACUGAACUUUGUAUUUUGGUCCUGAAGGUAUGUUAGUUGUUGGGUGCUUAGUUGAGUGAGUUAGCGAUAGCACAUUUAUUUUUGGUGAUGAUGUGAACCAAGAAGUGCAUAAUAUUUCUUAUCUUAUUUAGUACAAAAUCCUAACCCUUCCAGUUCAUCAAGUGCCUGAUAACUCCUGGUCCUCGAGAUGCACUGUGCCUUAGCAGUCUCUAAGGCCUAGCUACCAUGCUUCUAAAACCGAAGUCUCAGCCGAAUCUUGCGAGUAGGUGGGACACUUAUGUGCUACUGGUAUUAAUAACUCGAUUUGUGUAGCUAUAUAUUUACAUUUUUGUAGACACGUUUAUGUGUAACGAUUCAGAAGUGCGUGUGGAUAUGCCAAUGGAGUUCACAUCUCUUAAUAAAUAAUAAGAAGAGUACCAACUCCUAAGACUGAACUAAAUUGAAAAAGAUACCAUUAUGGAAUUUUUGUGUGUUGUAGAAGUACAUUGCUUUACUUGGCUGGUUGUUGCUGUUGAAGACUACCCAACAUGUAAAUUUAUCAUUCUGCCAAAAGAAAUUAGAAGAUUCGUUGUCGACAACAGAAACUACAAAUUGAUGUUCGUACAAAAUGACGGAGUCGCUAUUAUACUAAAGUCCAAGUUUCGGUAUUAAUUGGAUCCUGCUAUCACAACUGUUUAAGUUGACAACUGAUUUAAAGACACGAACACUAGUGAAUUCAUUAUUCUUUUUAGUAUUGUUUGGGUCAAUUAACGUUUUUUAUACAUAAAUUAGCGUGGUUAAUUUGGGAGCAGAGAAGAAAAUUAUAUUUAUGAUAUUUAGUGGGAACUCACUGGUAUCCAACUGUACAAGCUUAUCAGCAAAUUUAUGUAUCUAAGAUAUAUACUGGGAUAGUAGCACGUUGCUGUCAAAAUAAUUGCAGAAAAUCCUUUUUGCAUUUUUAUUUUGUACUCGUUCAAGAAAAUCUGUAGCCUCUUAAUUGAUCUCUUCUUUUAUUUAUUAUUAAAAUUAGUGCAUGAAGUGAACUAAAGCCACCUUUAUCACUUGGGUUUGAAUUGUACAUCAUUAGGUUGUUGAAAACCACUCUUAUUAUGCAAAAGCCCUUCUAAUGCAAUGUGAGAAGAUUUAUUAGAUGUAAGGUUCUACUCCUAUCUAUUAUUUGCUUGUUUCUUUAAGAAUAGAGAUAGCAGGUGAAUAGCAAAAUCCUCAAUCAAAACUUGAAUUCUAUGCCAAUGAAAAUCCAUUAGACAACAUUUAUAUGCAAGCAGAGUUUGGGGAUUCAUUUGCAAAAUUGUUACAAUGUGAAAAGAAUUUUUUUAAUGGUAAUAAGAAGAGUGUCACAAGAUGUGUUGAAACAUGUUUUCAUAACUUUGAAAAUACAUAUAUAUAUAUAUAUAUAUAUAUAUAGAAUAAAAUAAUAUUUUAAAAAAUACUUACACAUGGUGAUGAUAUCUUAAUAGAAUUGAAGAGGUAAUAACACUUAGAAUAAUUAAGAUGCAAAGUGGUAAUGCCUCUACCUGACCAUGAAAAGUUGGUAUUAAAUAUAUAUUUUUUGAAUAAUAUUUCUUUUAAAAUGGUGUUAAAGAGAAUUGUACACAUGUAAAUUAUUAUUUUGAAUUAAAUAUAAUGAUAUAUAUAUAUAUAUAUAUAUAUAUAUCCUCAAUUGUAUAAUGAACUUGUAGGUUUGAAAUUUAAGGUUAUCUUUAAAGCUGAUGCUUAUAAAAUCUCACAAGUUAAGCAAUAAAUAAGUUUUUCUUUUGUUUAUCUCAUUCAUUGUUAGAUUUCAAUAAAAAUUCUAUUCUAGACUUUAUCACAGAAGAUUAGAACAUUUUAUUCACAGAGAAAAAGAAAAAGAAAAUUAUAUAUAGAUAUAUAAAUACAUACAUAUAUAUAUAUAUAUAUAUAUAUAUGUGCUGUUGUGUGCUUGUCCAAAGCUUCUGAUUAUCAACACAGCCAAGCAUGAAUGAGCAAAUAUUUCCAGCUCCCCCAACCCAGUAAACCAGCCACCGAACUCUUCAGUCAAAGGGAGUUUCCAAGCUUAUUGUAGAUAUGCUAACCAGCCACCAACUCCUAAAUCCCAGCGAGUGAAAUCCAGCCCUAAAGGAGCUGUAAGAAGGCAUGCACAGUAACAUCAGUAAUAUGCACUCCACUCCCUUCACUUCACCAUGCUCACUGCACUUCAAAGCACUUGCACCACGCCAGUGUUCUUCCUCUACAUUCCCACUGAAACCCUUAAAGUGUGUCCUUUCCUUUCCUCUUACACUCACUUGCUUGUGCUGCGAAGUCUUCGUUUCAGAUGAGAAUAACAUUGUUGAUAUCUGCACAGAAGUGGGUUGUGGCGCUUAAGGCGAGGUCGAAGUCGAAGGGGAUCUGUGGGUAGCAUGUGGAAGAUGACCUCACGUUUUUCUCGGUCUUGCAUGGGAACAAGAUGAAAGGUGCAGGAAGUUCCUGGCGAGUUGGGACAAUUUUAUUGAGAUGCUGUUGCGUCAAAAAGAGGGGCCAGGAACAUUCUUUCAUGGCCACGUUCUAAUGUGGGGAUGAAUUUUGAGAGGCUGCAUUGCGCUUCGUGCCAUGUCGUCCGAAGGGGAUCGGAGUUCGAUGGGUACAGUGGCGAUGUUGUGUAACGUUUGCACAGUGUUGGAUCAAUUGCUGCGUCGAAAGCCGGUGAAUCUUGCGAGCGUCGGUCACUACGGGGAGAGUGUGGCUUGGUGGACCCAAAGCAAUUUUAACCCCUACGGUCGAUGUGUGAGUAGAUAGUGUACUUAUCCAUACUCGUGUUUCGGUAUGUGUGCCGCAUGUGCAGUAUAUUUUAGGCACGAUCACGCAGGUCGAGUCUCUUCGGCAUCACGGAAGCUCUUCCUCGGGCUCAUCAAGUUAAUCCUACGACGUCCACCGAUGGGCGAGAACAGGAAGCUCAGGGAGUUCCAGAAGGGCUCAAAGAUAAUUUAUCUGAAUGCGAUUGCUGCACAGGUACAUGGUGGAGGCAUGCAUCGGGACGGAUCAACUAUUGAACUGUGAUCAAAAUGACGUGCAGCAUUCCCCACCCAAUAGAUUCGUAACGCAGUAAACAAAUCUUCAGUGACAAUCACCACAUAACUUUACUGGAUGUAUUUUCUCCGCAUUUUCUUGGUGAUAUUGAAACAAAACUAUAAAAUAAUGAAACGAUGUGUUCAGAGUAUCAAUUGGUGAUAGAUGCCACUUGCUCCAGUACAGUGCUGCCCCCCUAGUUGGUGAAAGAAAUGUGAAGUGAUCCCUGGUCAGUCAUUUCUUGUCCCAGUUUGUGUAUUCUCAUUCGCGAUCGGAAGACUCGUUCACGCUCGUUGGUAGUAAUUCCUGCAAAAUCGACGACCUCUCAUCGUUCAAGUGCUUUUCUCACACUCGAAUUGUCCACCAUUCAGAUUGUGAGUCCUCUGUGUUAUCUGUAGGGCGUCUAUUUGCUUAGCAUCAAGUUUAACCUGCAACAACGUAGAGUUUGUCGAGAUUUCGAGCAUCAUGCCUUCCAUGGAAGACAGGCGUGUUCUGGAUUUGCCGCUGGAGCGUGCUUGGAAGAUAGGCAAGAAUUCGUUUGAGAUCCUUCCACAGCUGAUGCCUGAAUACUUCGAAAGCAUUGAUCUGGAAGAAGGUGAUGGCGGUCCUGGAAGCGUUUUUGUUCUUACGAUGGGGCCUGGUAUGAUUCCUCCCUCUGUGGUCUUCUCGAGGUUCAUGAUCUGCCUGAAACAAGUUUAUGUUGGAAGUAAAGAACUGUCCAUGUAACAAAGUAUACGCACAAAAACCACUUUCCAGACCCCAGCAAGUUCCCUUUUGUUAAUGGUCUGUUCUGUCCGCUGCUAGUUGCAAAUAUCUAGAGAUUCCCAGUUCAUGAAUCACUACGAACAGAAGGCUAGGUACUAUAACAGCCGCUGACACAUCUCCAUGGUCGGAUAAAACGCAGCAAUGCCAGGGGGAAGGGGGAGAGUUGUGAGGGAGAGAGUGGACAUGCGGGAUGACGAUAGGCACAAACUCAAGCACACUACCAUAGAGGGAGGUGACCCCCGGUACAGCAGCUUCUCAUCCAGCAUCAAAUACGAAAGCGGGCCCUACAGAAACACUACCAUCCGCACCUGGACUGCAAAAUACACACCAGCACCUGGAGUGUGGGCACCCCCUCCGGAGGAUCUCAAGGGCCUCUCAGAGAAGAUAACUGAGACUCUUCACAACUACGCAGCUGAGAAUCCUGACUACUGCGCAUAUUAGAACCUUCCAGAACCAGGAAUCCGAGAAGGAUGCAGACGGAACUCACGAGUAAGAUUUUAACAGUAUAUGUAUGUAUUACGUGCAUCAUAUCUUUAACUGCUGUUAAUGGCUAGAACCUUGUAUGUUGUAAUUGAACGGCCUGUCCGAAAGUUAGGUUUCUUUCGCCUCCAAAUACACAGAUAUGCAUGUGAAAGACAACUGUGUAGCUGUUUUGGCUGGCAGGAAACUAAAACCUCGAGAGGUCUAAAUUAGAAGCAGGUCUUUGAAAGAGUUGGAUGUCAAGUGCUUCUCUUUAAUUCGAGUAUAUAUUGCCGGUCACCACUGAGAAGGUUAGAAGUUCGUAUAUGGACUUGAGUAACAUACAUGCCAAGUCUUACAAGAUACUUAAAUUCUUGGUUCACAAGCUAUCCGCGGCAGUGUUCCAUGGAGAGCUCCAGAAAGGCCUGCAUAUACGGAGCUUUGCUACCACCCACACAAAUCAAUUAUGAAGUGUGUUGGAACAAACCAAUCCGCUCGGAAUCAUACCACCAGAACGCAGUUGGAGCAUCCUAGUCACGGCCUAGGCACAUGUACCAAACUGAACCCACUACAUGAAUGCAGCACAUUGAGAACAUUUGAAAAGAGAACUCGCCUAACUUGGGCAUUGGAAAUAAUUUAUGAAGGGGUCAAAUUACCCAAUUGCAGGCGAUCCCCGUACAAGGAGACCCACCUGACAACUUGUUCAGUUUCCGCUUGUAAGUGUGCUGGUCCGUACUCUCUACUACUUUGAGUGAAGGGAAUUCCAAAGGCCCUAACAACUUCCUCGAUCGUCUGCCUAACUACCCCCUGUCCUGAACCUUUCCCUGUAUACGGCCUGUAAUCAGUAUCGAUUUCCUUUCUACCACCAGUGAUAAGUAAUAACCUUGGUGCGAUUACUGAGCAUGCUGCAGCCCGCUCAGCAACCUCGUCUAACCAAUGCAGGAAAGCUAUUUGCGAGGCACCCUUUGAGAGGCUUCGGAGGUCCAAAGACCACGCUUCGUCGUUGUACUGCGGACGUGGAAAAUCCUCGACUACUUCACGUGCUUCCAGAAACACUAGUCUUGCUCGCAGACGCAAACGUCGUUCCCAUAAAGCGUCGAUCAACGCAUUGUAGAACGAUGAAUUCGAUUUCACUCCUCUCGUCAGUGCAUAAAUUUUAAAGAAGGAUACAACCUCUUCAACAACAGAAUCAGAUUGAAAUGUGAUCGAGGAGACAGAGUCAUCAAUGUGGUGUGUUGGAGGUGGAGGGAGCUCAGAUCUGACAGCAUCAUUGGCAGGUGGCGUAAACACCAGACGGUAGGCUACUUGUAGUGGUUCAAACUGGCUGUUCACCAUUGCCCUAGCCAAAGGUGCGAAUAACUUAUCGUCCGGUUCUCCACAUGCUGAAAUCAAAGUUCCGUAUCCUGCUACGUCGGGUUCAAUUCCUUUUCUCCCCAUCUCGUCUAGAACUGGCGCUGCGUGGGAGUACCAUCGGCCUUUGGUAUAAAGAUGAAGCAUAGCUCCAUAAACAGCAGUAUUAAGUGGGCCUGUUGUGUCUUUUGCUGCUGCCAAGCAUAUCUGGACACAAGAACAAAUUAGUCCAAAAAUAGUGCAGGUGACAUCAGGUUCAGAACAAGAGAAAACUUGUUGUACCAUCAGUUUCGACCAUGGAAACCGGAAAGGGACUAAAUUAAAUUCAAUUUAAACAACAAAACAUUGCAGUAGAAAAGGAAGCGAGAAGUAAUGUCUCAAAAUGAAAGAGGAGCAUGAUUUCUACCUCGUGGCCAUAUCUUGUCCAGCCACGCCGUGCACAUGCGUGAAUCAUGGUGGCAUAUGUGUGACCACUUGGCUCCACUCCAUCAGACAACAUUCUUCGGUAGAGCUCAUCAGCUUUUUCAUAUCGACCAGCUUGAACAACAGCGCUUAUCAGGGAGGUGUAUGUAACUGUAUCAGGGCGGUAACGACACUCGAUGAGGUCUACAUACAACUGCACAGCUUCCUCAUCUCGACCUGCCUUCCCGCAUGCAUCGAUAAUCAUAUUAAAUGCUACUAACGAUGGCUUCAUGCUCUGCCCAACACCACAACCAUGUCAAAACGAGAUCCCAUUACCUGUUGUAGGGUAAUGAGGGUGCUGCAAUGUCCGUUUUUCAGCUGAAAUCACAACAGACUAACAUCCUCAGACUUCUAACUCUAUUGCAAAUAACGACGCUUCAGAGAAGACAAAAUUCCAACACAAAAAUGUGCAGCCCUUACCAGCUUGUAUUCGCGAAAAACACUAAGAGCUUGAUCAGGUUUGCCAGCCCGACAGUAUGCAAGCAGCAAAGCAUCGAACGAACCACAUUUGGCAUCCACGCCUGCUUCUCGCAUUUGCUGAAAGAUGUCCUCCACCAACUCGGCGUGUCCUUUUUUUGCAUGAAGGUGCAUCAGCUUUACCCAAACCUAAUCAUUACCAAGCAGAAAAUAAUAAUUACAAAAGGGGGUCUACAAUUCACACAGAGACAGCACUUUGACGAGGACCCUGCGAUGAAAAUAAUGAAAGAAUUUAAAAUGUUCAUCAAGCCUUAGUAACGGUUAUGGUUGGCUUUCAUUCUCUUAAUAAUUGCAAGAGAUCGUAACGACCAACUGGAUUUCGACACACUUCAACAACAGUACUGCGAGUCAUCACCAGAUGAUAAAUUCGACUCUCUUCUCCAUUCUCAUUGCAACAACUUUGACAAACACAUGAGUGGAUUGCAGUUGACUAAUAUUGAAAAUGUCGACUGAAAACUUAAUGGUAAGAAUUAGGUGAGCGUUCAUUUGACAAUAAUGCACCAAUUUGGAGAUGUAGGAUUUCGCUUAUCAGAAACAACUCCAUGCUCCCAACAGUUGCAUCACAGACAUCUGUUGUUACACUUGUGGAUGCUCAAAAACGAACUAUUUUUCAUAAAUGGACAAUCACUAGAAAUGAGGGUGCGGAGUGUGUAGCUCGAAGGAAAUCAAAAUACCUUUGAGUCAAUCUGGUAAUUGGCUGCUUUCAUCUCUUGAAAAACAAGAUCCGCAUCUUCCGCUACGUUCGCAUUCCAACAUGCUGUCAUCAGCUCCGACAAUACUUUGUAUGAAACUAUGAUAUUGCCGCCACGAACUCCUUGCAAAAGUUGCAUUGCCUUCUCCAGUUGGGGCUUCUUUCCAGCCAAGUAGGCAGUAAUCACCUGCACCAUAUGCCAACAGCUAAAUACGGGCGAAGGUUUUACGUUUGCACCAACUACUGAAGAUGACUGUCUUUUAUAACGAGCCCAUGCCCUGACUUCGCCGCCAGAAAUCAACAGAUAUAAUCAAUCUAACUAGUGUCAAUUUCAUGAUCUACAUCAAAUAUCGACAGAGCAGUUAUUUUGGGUACCGGAGUAUAAUGUAGUGCGUUCAGAUGCAUACCCUUUCAUAAGUGGUAGGAUCAGGUUUAGCUCCAUAUCUUUCCAUUUGAAAUAACACCUGUGAAGCUGGGUGGACAUAUCCCAUACGUCCAUAACCCCUUACAAGAGAAUUGAAGAAAAGAGUGUCUGGAUCUACUCCUAGGCUUCUCAUCUCCAAAAUGAGAGCCUCAACUUCUGCUUCCCUCCCAUGCUUAGCCAGCACUCCUCCAACUGUCGUAAAUGUCUUGAGGAGCUUUAAGUUCCUCUCUCUGCAACCAAUUUUCACAUUGUAGGUUGGUUGAAAGGCUGAAACUCGGAGAAAUUUAAACGACAUUGUCAUGAAAAGAAAAUGCCGUGUUCCAUCCACCUCACAAGCAUUUUAUACACUACCACGCAGAAGUGUUGUUUGAAGGUGCUAUUAUUUACUUGUCAACCACGUCGUGUGAGGGGACUAGCUGUGCUGAGAGGACGCUCUUUGUUUUUACGAUGUUGAAAAUGCUGAGGACAAGUUUCCAAUCGACAUCCCCUAUCUGCGCCAAGAGCUUGUUCCAUUCUUCUGGCGUAAAUUUCCCUGUCCAUGGUGCUAGAGUUCUCUCGACGUCUUCGCCUCCCUUCAAUGCUGCAAUGACCUCCACAAGCUCCGGCCGUCCCACAGUACCCCGUUUUCUUUUUUCUGAUUUUGCUGGCCCGUUCUGUUAAAUCAUAAUGUUAAAACUCUUCAUUAAUCAUCUUGGAAUGUCACAAAUUACAGGCCUCUUACGUCAAUGACCUUUGGUAGGGGGGACUACCUAUCCAAGUUCGGAUUUUGGGAUGAAGAUCAAUGUUCCACUGUAUAUUGUCACAACAUAUAAGGAGAAAAGAGUGUUCCAAUUCCGGUUUUUCUCAAUCCAAAAAAAAAAAAAAAAGAAAAAAAAAGACAUGAAGUAUGCUCAACAAGCACGAAGAUGCCUUGAACAUGGCUGCCAUAAGUGAUAAGUCUAAUAGGCAAUAGCUUUAACAAUAAGACCUAAGAAUCACUUCGAUUUUGAUGUACCAGUAAAGGGUAUCUGACAAUGCCCUGCAGUAUUCACCCAUUGCGGAUUCCAAAGAAGAACCAGAACUAAUCGGUCAUACGUGCCUAAUGACUUAGACAAAAUCCUCAAAUAUGAAUACGACAGACGACAGCAUAAGGUCACGAUGACUUAGAGACCGGUUGCGAGAGAUACUGAUCACUUCUAAAACCACAAAUUCAGUUGAAAUUAGGCAAAUACAGCCUCGAAAUUCCGAAGAACGAAGGAAAGGUAAAAAAUUACCAGCAACUACGCUAGCAAAUGCCGCUCAAUCUAACAAUGUGAUCAUAAGCUAAGUAGAUAACACUCGGCGAUGAUACAGUACAUCACAGUAGGAGUCAGCCACAUAAUAGAAACAGAAAUAAUUCUCUGCUUGAAAAAACAUUGAAUAUCCACGAAAGUGCCAACCACAAAUCAGAACGUGCUUUGAAAUGUAUCACAUUGUAACUCGCAAACGCGACCUGCCAGAACACUUCAUGAACUCCUGUACUCCAAGAGGCAAGAGGAUAGCGGCACUAGCAGUACUCCUUAUGGUAAUUGCUGGUCCACCGAAAAAACUUCUAAGUGCAUAGAAAGCUCAAGGUACUCACAAUCUUGAGACGAGACGAAACGUCGAGAUUCUCGCGAAAUUAUAGAAAAGUAUUAUCUCUCAAGCUAUGCGACAGGCAGAAAAUAUUCCCUAAAGAGACCAUGACACCAAAAUGCACCCCUAAUACAGAGAAAAAAUAAAAUAAUAAAAAAACAGACUCACCUUGUCCGCCUUCACCGUAUUCACCUGCGCCUCUCCGACUGACGCGUCCUCGCCGGUAUCUAAAACCUCCGACUCAAAAACCCCCGCGACAGCGCACAAGCGGCACCUGCCCCCGACCUUCGUCACCAAAUCCUGCCAUUGGCACGCCUUGACACCACCUCCAGCUUGCAACCCGCCCGCUCUGAGCCCAAUCCAGCUCACUCUCGCACUCACCCCAUUGCUGUGGGCAACAACAACACCGCCACUCUUGUGACCCGUGGAGGCCGACGCCGCGAUGUUCAGAGACGAAAACUCCAGCAGCAUGGAAGCAGCGCAAUUGGUCAUUGGAAGAACCUCAAUUGCGCACACAGGAAUUCCCCCCUUCCCAAGGGCACGCAGGGGAAUCCGAGAGCAAUGAAACGACGACGAUGAUGUUGAUGAUAAUGCUCACAAGCAGGAAUGUGGCACCACUUGAAUAAUAUUUCCUGCGCCGGGGGUUUGUUUGGCUUUCCUACCGCUUCUGCAUCAGAGCAAGCAAGCAAACAAACAAACAAGUAAACAAAUUGUGCCGGUGUGUGCAACACUUAGAGUCGUAUCUCUCUUUACUGCCGAGGAGGAUGGAUACGUAUCCUAUCGUAUGUGUACAUUGUAGUCGUAUCAAUACGAUUAUGAGGUAGUUCUGUGGCGUAUCCGAUGGUUGUUGGGAACGUGGGGUUUUUGUGUUCCAUUAUCUUGUUCCCGAUGAGAGACUUGAGGCUGGGAUUUUGCGUUUGCAUUGGGAGCUUGUGUUGGUGUGCUUGUGGACCAAAUUCUUAAAGAAUGAAGUAUUGUAGUAGUUGUAGUAAUAGUAGUAGUAAUAGUGGUAAUAGUAGGGGACUUCUAAAUAUUAGAGUUAGAAAAUUUAAAGAGGCGUUGUUCUUUACAUGAUGGUGUUCCAAAGAAAAAAUUAUAUAUAUAUAUAUAUAUAUAUAUAUACAUGCAUACAUACAUACAUAUUUUAAGUGCAAUUGUGCAAUGGGUUCUUUAUCUUGGAACGUGUUGUGUAUUAUAUAUUAUAUCAAAAUUAAUGUAGGCACUUUUUUCUAGAUUAUAUAAAAUAUUUUAUAAAUAAAUUUUAUUCAAUUAUUAAUAUUUGUCAUUUUUCCGCUUUUAAAGGUAUUCAAUCUUCUUCUCGUACACAGCAUAUAUUGGAUGCAUGUAUCCAUUGAAUCAAGAUUACUUUGAUAUAUUUUAAAACUAAGAUAAGUUAAAAUAUAUUAUAAAAUCUAUAUGACACGAAAAAUAUCUUAAAAGUCCAUAUCAUAUUUUUGUAAUUUAGACUGAAAUUAUUGUUGCUUUUUGAUGUAAUUGAAAAUAUAUUAUUAUAAAUUUAAAAUAAAUACAACUUUCAAUUGAAACUAGAAAAUUGCAAUAUGAAUGGAUGAAAACAAAUAGGUUUAAAACACAUAUAAAUAUAAAUAUAUAUAUAUACAAACAUAUUCAUAUUAAAAUUAGUCAAAAACUUUACUGUCUAUGAAAUUUGAUAGCAAAUAUUCAAUUGGUUCACUAAUAAAUUUUGUAGAAAAUAAGAGUUUACAAUUAUAUAGACUAAAAACUAUGAGAAUCUACAAUUGAUUAAAUACCUAUAAGUUGAUAACAAUCUUUUGAUUAAAUACCAAUAAAUAAAUAAAAAUACUAAAGAAUUAUAUACUUAGAUAGAAUAUGAUAUAUAUAUUAAAUAAUAAUAAUAAUAAUAUAUCCAUUUACUAAAUCAACUCACUUUAUUGAAACUCAUCCCCACCUCCCUCAUUCCUAAUCCCCAUUGCCUCUAUUUCCAACCUCCCUCCCCUUUGUUCCCCUCUCAUGUUUCCAACUCUCAUCUUGAUCUCUCUUAUUUUCCAUAAUAAGGUGGAUUAAUUUAGUAAAUUGAUGGAUCAUUUUACCGUUUUCUUGCUUAUAUAUAUAUAUAUAUAUAUAUAUAUAUGAUAUUUAAUAUUGUAGUACUUUUUAUUAUUAAAAAAUACUAAAAUAUUAGAAUAUUUAAUAUAACUAUUAUAAAGAUCAUAUUAUAUCUAAAUAUGCAUAGAUAUCAAGUUAUGUUUAUUUUUUAUGAUAUUUUAAUAGUAUUUUAUUUGAUUAAUUUUUAAAUAUUUAUGAUUUUUCAUUUAAAAAGUUACACCAAAAUAUUUUCAAUUUUAAAUCUAUAUUAAAUUAUUAAAAUUAAACUAAGAGAUAAAAUUCCAUCAAUUAUAACUAUCUAAAUCUUUUCAUCUUCAAAGAAAAAUUUGGGAUCUAAGAACAAUUAAGUUCUAUUAUAAAACUAAAAGCUUUAAAGUUUAAUUUUAACUUGUAGUAAUAUUUAAGCAGAUACCGACAUUAAACUUACAACUAAAAAAUCAAGUAUUCAAGAAUAAUAUGUGUAUCAAUAAUCCUUUAUUUAAUAUAUAAAUAUAUUUUUACUUAUCUAUCUUUAUUGAAUGUAAUGACACAAAUUAGAAAUAAUAGCAUCUUGUUUAAAUUUGUUUAUAUAACAAAACUUAUUUCCUCUUUAGCAAUCAUAUUGUCUCUGUAGAUGAAUGGGUACAAUUCUACUCUAAUACCAAAACUUUGAGGUACUAAAAGAUUUGACUAUUUUAGACCAUAAAUAGAUUUAUUAUAACAUAUUUUAAGAUAAAUAAAAUUUUAAUUUAAAAUACAUAUAUAUAUAGAAAUAAAGUAUUUUUAUAAAAUAAAUACAUUAACAAACAAACAAAAUGAAGUAUGUUAUACUCAAAAUAGAUAAUUACUCUUAACUUCAUUCCUACUCCACUACUUUCAAUCAUGUAUGUCUUGAUUAUCUAUUCUUUUUUCUUUUUUCUUUUUUACAUUUUUGAUGUAAAAUUAAUCCAACUUAUUCUUUGUGGAUUCCCUUUUAAGAAUUUAACAAAUAAAAAUUAAAAAAAAAAAAAUACAUCAUAAAAUACCACAACUCUAUGAUAUUCAUGAAUGCAUAUCAAAUAAAACAUGAAUAGAAAUGGACUUAUUCACACAAUAUAAUACCAAAUAUAAAUAUUUCUAUUUGCUCUCUGUAAUCCCAACAACAACAUGAAUUUCAUCAAAUAGCAUACAAUGCAAAUAUAAAGUAAAUAAAUUAACGGCUAUCAUUUUUUCAUAUGUAGAAAAUUGUUGUCCAAUAUCCAUCUCACUCCAUCAACAAUCAAGAUCAAGUUAUAAAAUGCACUUGACCUUUCAUUCCAUUAUUUCCAGCUUCCGCCACAGUCCUUCCAAAGAGAUGAAAUGCAAAUAUAAACAUAUAUCAAACAUGACAUAUCACCAUGAGAGAGAGAAAGAUAUAUAUAUAUAUAUAUAUAUAUAUGUGAGAAAAAGAUGUGCCACGGUGGGUAAGCAGGAUUGUGCAACAUCAGUAAGUGUGUGAGUAAUUGUGUGAGUGAGAGAGUGGGGGACAGAUAGAUUCAUGGUGGGUGUUGUUUCGGAGCCAUUCUUGAGCAUUCUUCUUGUGUGCAGCAAUCGAGGAAAGCCAUCUGAUAACAUAUUAUGUGUUGCCACAAACCCAGUUGAUGAUGAUGAAGAAGAAGAAGAAAAAGAAGAGGAGGGCUACAUUGAUGAGCUUUAGGUGCUUUUCCUGGUUCCAUGCACGCUGGUUGCACUCCAUCUUAAGUAUGGUCUUGUGUGUGUGUGAGUGUAUAUGUGUGUUCAUUUGGCAAAAGUGGAGGAGAGGUUUUGGUGCACGGCUCAAAAUGAGGUUUUUCGAUUGCCGAAGCAUGUUUUCUGUUGUUUUUGUGUGCCUUGCAAUGAGAAGGAUCUGUGUAUCGAGUGCGGGAGAUUCUGUCAGACAUUUCAAUGAAGCUAUGAAAUGGUUUCGCACUUUUGGGUCACAGCGGUGAUUGUUUUUGUAGCCGGGCGUGAAGCUCCUUUUCGGUGCUGUGUUUUCGACUCGUAUCAAAUGAUUCCGCGGUCUUUAAGGCCGGCCAGUUGCGCAAAGCCCUUUAGUCCCCCAUCGAACAUGUCCGACAGCUUCUUGGGUUUUGUAGCUGGUGGCACAAAUGGGCGUCUGCACAGGACCGAUUGUGAUGUGAGAUGGGUUGUAGGUGACACAUAUGUGCAGCCGACCACUGAUUUCUAGCUGUCUAUCUUGAGAAGCAGAAGGGGCGACCUGGACGGAUCUUCUGCCGGUGUGGAAUCGUCUGGGUUGUCGGCUGCUGGUAGGAAAAGGUUUGCGGUGGCCGUGCUUAAGCAAGGGUUGCCAUUUGUGAGUGGAAGUUGUGUGGGCGAAUACAUUCCCAGAUGCUGCAGCCGGAUUCUUGCCAGCUUGCUUGCCAAUUCCGAAUCACCCACCUGCGGGGGACACCAUGUUAUCUGUCGGACUGCAGUUUCCAAUUCACCUAUGUCCAGGUUUACAGUAAUUUGGUUUUGAAACCAUAUGAAGGAUGGUACCUUGUUGUUCGCACACAAGGCCACAUCACGUGCCGUGACGACACUCUUCACGCGCUCGAGCACAUUUGUUCGUCGCUGCGUCUUCAGCUCCUCCUCAACAGCGGCCUUGUCACUCCUCAAUUUGCUGUUAUCAAUCAUCAGUUGAUUCACAGUGUUGACCAUAUCCAUUUUUUCCAUCGGGAGGCGGCCUUUUCUUGCAUGUCCUCUGAAGAACUGUGAGUGCAGAUUAUUCGUUAAAGCCGUAAGCCUUCGUGCAUGAAGCUGGUUGAAAAUACUAUAAAGUUGCAGAACUGAAACGAAGGGUGGUGAUAGGGAUUGAGAUCAGACCACCUUUUGGUUUAGUUUCAGCAUCUCUAUUUCGGAUCCCAAUGCCUCAUUUUCCUGAAGUCAAGAUUUCACAUAGAAUAUAGUUUUAGUUUGAUUGGGAGCAAACCCUCUCGUAUUGCAUGAGGUUGAAGUGUGCUUGAAAUAGCAACCUUUCUCAUGUGAUAAAUCUCUGUGACAAGCUGAGAACGGGCUGAGGUUUCAUAUUUGAGAUCAUCUUCAAGCCGAUGCCGGGAGGCUUCAAUGGUGGUAAUAUGGUGAUGCAAUGACUGGAUUUCUUGUCGCAAUUGAUCGUGUUUGAUGCUGCGAUCAGUAUCCGCCUGCUCAUACAGCUUCAACGUCGACUGCAUCUGCUCAAUUUUUGCAGAGUAGAGGUCCUGUACCAGUUUCCGCCGAUGUUUUCCUUUAAACGCUGGGAACAAAUAUCAUCUACCGAUACUCGACACAAAUUUUGGUAGAGAGAGGUGUGAAACAUUUUCUAUACCUGUAACGCGUGAAUCUCUUGCCUCAGUACUUCAUUUUCAGGGUUGGACCCAAUGGCGCCGGUUUUCUUCUCAGGAUCUGAGGCUGCCUGCAGAAGGACCGCCGACAUCUUCUCUCUUGCGGCUGCCAAAUCAGCUUUUAGCUCGUCAUUCUCUUGGAUCAACUGUAAAAUUACGCAUACCAUCAGCAUAAGUGACCUCGUGACCCACUUAUAGUAAGCAGCAUCAAGAGCAAAUCUGACAACAUUGGCUCAACGCAAAUACGACUUGAAUAUGGUCACCAACCUUGCCACGAAUGAGAACAAGGGUGUCGUUUUUGGCAUCCACAAUUACUCGCAGCAAUGCAACCCCCGCCUCCAAUUUAUGCAUCUGGAGAUUCACACGUUCAGUGAAAACAGGUCAGAUGAAGUGCACAACAUUCCAUUUUGUCGCAACCACCUGUGAUUUAAAUGCAGAGUAGACGUGCGAUGUGAUGUCACUUUAGCACUUCUUGGGCACUUGGAUAUGCACCUCAUCUAUUAGUUUUUGUGAUCCAUCUGAGUCAAAGUUAAUUCUCUGAGAUUUUUCUUCAGGGUUCUUCUGAUCCUCAACCACCCUGAAAUUCGGAAGCACGUGCCUUUGAAACGCGUCCACAGACUGCACGAUGCUUGUUGCUAUGCAAGUGCACUUUGCCACAACAGAUCCUAGACUACGCAGUCGUCCACCGCAAGUCUGUUCUUCAUCCACGAUCUUCUUUCUCAAUCCCUUUAUCUCGGUCACCAACUGCUCCUUCUCACGGAGAAUCCUCUCCUUUUCUGCGGCGGCUUCAGCUCUACUUGCAGAUGCAGGCUCUAACUGUGCCUUUAGGCGCUCUACCUCGCAUUUCAAUUUAUUUGUAGAUGCGUUCACCAGAGAAGUCAUUUCCACUUCUCGAUGCGCUCGCAGUCUUUGGAGCUCAAGUCUCUACGGGUUUGAAAAACGAAGGAAAGUGAACAAUCUCUCGUUAAGGCUUCCAACUGUGAGAAAGUCUUUAAACUUUGAAAAUCGGCGUGCGUAUCAAGGUUGUGUAAACUCACUUGAUUUUGCUCCCGGUUGAUUAGGUCAUUGAGCUGAAAACGAAGAAUAUCGUUCUCCUGCUGCAGAGAUUUCGCCAAUAUUUCGGCGUUCAUCGCACGAUUACUGGAGCUUUUCAUUUUGGACUGUGAUCAAACAAUUGAAAAGAACUUAUCAAGGGGCUUGACCAGACUCUCACUCUCUCUCUCUCUCGAUAUAAUAUGCAUAUACAUGUACCACGCAAAAAACUGAUUAUACCACACAGAAAUUACCCUGACAUCAAACAUCGUACCCGAAUUCACUGACGAUCACUCAUGGCUUCGUAGUUACUCGCUGAGCACGAAAACAAUGCAUGCGAAGUUAGAUUGACGCUCAAUGUACAUACAAGAGCGAAAUUUGUACGGAGGUAUACAAAGCAUCACGGCCCAAAUGCAGUAACAAAUCAAUACACGAUUGUGGCGACAUGCCAAGAAUGAUUCUACAAUUAGAAGGCAGAAUUACAACUUUUCAUGCCAUCCAGCAAGAUCGCACUAUCUUUUUAUUCUCUUAGACGUCAAGCGCACAAGCCUUUUGAUUUAGCUCUAACGCACUAACAAACAUUUCGCAACUCCGAUUGCAGAGUAAAGUUGGUGCUGCUGCUGCUGCUGCUUCAACCCCCUUCUCUGGGAUAGAGAUCAUCUGACUAGUUAAUAUGGUGAGCUUGGGUGCUGGCAACCUCAGGCAAUUGGAGGGUACAAUCUGCAAGAGGUUUAAGUAUCCCCAGAAGCAGAAUUCGGAAGACGAUGACUGCAGAAUGCUCCACAGUCACACGAGAAUAAUCCAACAGGUUUUAUACUUGACGAAGAGGUGGUGUGAUGUGGAAUGUUUCUGCUACGAGGAGUGCUUGCUUCCUGCCGCCCGAAAGGAUCUUCAUCUUCGCCUUCAUGAUUGUUGUUUCCUCACUUGAGAUGAAAAUUAUGAACCUUCUCACAGACCUCUCACGGUUCCGGAGUAUAAUCGAACCCAUGCACAUUGGAGCAAUAUAGUCUUGGCCUCCUCUGUGGUCAAUGGCUGAACCCAGUUCAGAAUUAAUACUCCCCAACGUAACGCACUGUAGCAAAUGUUCGUAUAAAAUCGCACGGACAAACUGUGGCAUGCCACUGGAGAAGAUAGAUAUCACCCAGUAUCCGCUUUACCACAAUUUGUUGUUGGAUUUGCUGUGCCGUAUUAUUCCUUGAGCUUAGAAAACCACCACAACGAAUGCGUAUGAAUGUACUGAAUCGGAAAGCCCAUAACCACUCGGCAGAGGGCCUCUUCGUGGAACUGAAUAUAACUCCCGAGUACUAACGACGACCUAUCAGUUCUAUCUAAUCUGCCUCAUCACCUCCAUCUUCGCACACGGGUUCUCCUCAACCAUUCUGCUGAAAUCAAGACCUAAACGGGAUCUGGAUUCCGCCAUCUUUAUCACCCAUGUUACAAUGCUUGUGCGUCUCAUCAAGCGCGCUUCGAAAACCGGGAAGUCUCGUUUUCUGUGACCUUUCGUCAGCAGUUGCUAAUCGCUCCGAAUAUGUUCGUGGAAGAGGAAUACGGAGACGUAAUUGGACAAGGAAGGCAAUGCCGGUCGAUCAGAAGGACGAGCCUUCAGCAUAUUCCCCUGCCAUUGAACCGACCCAUGUGCAAAACACCACAGAUUCGCUUGACUGUAGCCACUCUCACACAAAUGCAUGAGCGAGGUGACGAGAAUCGACACGGAGCCGGUACCCUGAACAACAGGGACUCAGAGUGAGUUGUAAAUCUCCCCGCGCCGUGCACAUGACGUCGAAAUUUCCCCGAACCCAUGUGAGAAAAUGGAGAGAAGAGGGGAUUGUUGGCAUAUUCCGCUGUGCCCACAAUUCCGAGGAUGCGAUGCAGUGCGAUACUGGUGCGGUCUUUGGGAAACGAACAAAUAAAGUUGUUAACUUUGGGGUUCCUGUGGCAACUGACCCCUUUCAUGCCGCGUGACCACGGCGUAUCCGUUCACACCGCGUCACUUGUCCAGCUCGCUCAUCCUCUGUGGAUGACGUCAUUCAUCCGAGCGUUUUUCAUUUCGCUCUUUGUCGUUCGCUGCUUUGAGUUGGAUUCUUUGCUUGGGGGUUGUUCGCAAAUUGAGAUUAGAAAAUUGGGUUGUAUUUCAAAGUGGAAACACGUUUUUUUAGAAUCUAAAAAUAAAUAGAAUCUUGUAUCUUGUUCAAAAUACAAAUAAAUAUACACACACAUAUGUAGUCAUUUGUUUAAUUAAAAUUUGUUUUAAAAGAACUCAGAAAUGAUGUGUCCUACAUAUUUUAAAAGCUAAUCAACGUUUUGAAGCUUAAAAUUCUUUUUCAAGUAUGAUUUUCCAUGUAGUUGGAAAAAUAUCAAAAACUUAAGAAAAAAAAACAAAACAAAUUUUCUUACUUCAAGUUGCCAUUUUUUUUUUUUUUUAAUUAUAUAGUUUCAUCUCUGUUUUUAAUAACUUAUUACAAUACAUUGAUCUAUACUUAAAUACAGAAAAAGAGAUUCAAUUAACAAAAUAGAAGCAUUGAAGCAAUACACAUUUUGCAUUAAUGUUUCGGAAGGUUAAGAUUAUUGAUGAUUCUACAAUUAACCUUGAUAGGAUGCUUUGCAUUGCUUAGAAAACCACAAUGACAACGUCCAAAUUGGAGGCUACAUUGUUUCGCUGCAAUUACCUAAGCGUUAGGAUUUUAUUUUUUUAUUUCUCAUUCAUUUUCUAAUGUUAACUAAGAGAUUUCCAGAUAUUUGUAAAUUAACUGAAAACUGUACAUUAAUUGCUAGGAAAAUGUGCUCUUGAUCCAAUCAAAUAUUUAUUCCAAGGGCCUAUUAUGAAUGUGGUAUUCAAGCCAAGGUAGUUAAGCUCCAAUUUCAUAAGAUAUUUCCCAAGAUCUUGCAUUGUCCCCGUUUCAACUUCACUAAGGAUAUAAAACCCUUAAGGAACCACUUUCACUAAUUCUGAUCAGAAUUUGCGUGUUGGGAUAUGCAUAUCUUCAUACACCAUGAACCCAGUUGAUGGUAACUCAAAACAUAGAGACUAACUAAUCCCAGGAUGGUACAUAUAUGGAAAAUGUGGGACAAUAUACCCUGGUACAUGAAUUAAGAGCCAGCACAAGUAGGAGGCGCUGUAGACCCUUGUUUGAUGCACUGCACAUCAACACAAAACACAACGCACAGCUUUAUAACUGUUGUCAUACUUAUUGGAUUCCCAAUAAGACACCCUCACCACUCAGAGAAGCUGGAAUGGAUGUGAGUAACCUGAACAAAGAAGACUGUGUGAUUAACCAUAUCAAACGAGUGAUAUUAGUGUGACAGGCAUUGAUCUGAUUGAUGUCUACAAUCCGUGAAGUUCAAGGAUCAAGGACUCGAUCUAAGUGGCAACAAUUGAUCGACAUGAAGGGAAAUUACCUCCAAGAGAUAGCUGUGCAUCCAGUCCAAUGUCUGUGGGAACGUUGUGGCGGAUAGGUUCACUACCGUCAUUCCCUGUUACAGUACAGAAGCUGACCAGUUAGACCCACAUGACGGAAUCAGUGCCUAAAGAUUUGACUAAAACCUAUCUUCGGUGUGUUGAAGCUGCUAGACAAUUAGAAAUUUGGAAGGUUUUGAUGUUGGUACUUGUGACUCAAAAGAUGUGAGAUAGUCCUGAAUAGUUUGAAGUCUUUUGAUCAAAGCUUCCUUUUCCUGCACGACAUCCACAUAAUCAAGAGCGUCGAGAAUCAAAUGUCCACUUUCCAGAGAUACCAUCAUCUUUGGUGAAACCUGUUUAUAAAAUUGACAAAACAAAUUCACAUGUGGAUUUCGACCGUUCACUCAAAUUUACCAGUUGUAAAUGUAUUCUUCACGAUGAUCUGAAGGGCAACUUACCGCAACAGAGAGUUUUUCUCCGGUUUCGGCGGCACGUGCAGCGAUCCACUCUUCCAGUAGAGUCUGGUUAAUACAGAAAAAUAGAGAUGUUUUGAGAUCAAAUGUACAUCUAGGUAGAAAUCAUUUUCAAACACAACUGAUAUUACGAUGGCUACAAGAACCAAGUUCGAGUCAAAUAAAACUCAUCGAAUGCGCACAAAAACUAGUUUCAGGGAAAGGGUAAAAUUCCAAAGUAGUUGCCAAAUCACAUGCCUGGUGAUCAACAUCAGCCAUCUUAAGCACGACAGGCACAAUAAUGCACUUCGGUGGCGUCCAUUUGGCUGGGGAUUUUGCCUCUUCUUUGGUCACUGCAGCUUCAGCGGUAGCUCCUGCAAGCUCAACAAACAUUCGUAAGACAAUUUGGAGAUACCGAGGUCAUUGAUGAGCAUCUGAUGUAGAUUAUCGCGAAGAUUAGAACCAGAAUUAUUUUUUUAAAAUAACAAUAAUUAUGAUAACAUAAACAAUUAACUGAAAUCAAAUAUUAUCAUCAACAAACUGAUUAGCUAUUUGGAGACAUUUGAUGAGUAAGAUUGGAAUAUGGAUUCACUUUUACCAUCUUUGUCGAUUCCCGCGAUUGCCACCGAAUUGGCUGCUGCAGGUACGGCCUUAAUUUGUAACGUACCACUCCCGAACCCGCCACUUUCCUCGUUCAUUAGAUAGAUCGAUGGAUCCAAAUGAAGCCCCUGCGACCACACUAUGCUGUUGUAAUGAAGUAGUCUCAAUUUCGUUUAAGAGGUGCAGAGACAAACCAAUCAAGGCUUCUGAUUACGUGAGACUUUUCACUUCUCUACAGAUAUAUCAUAAAUACAGGACACAAUCGAAGCUCAGUGAGAUUAGCAUGAUAGGCCCUGCCACUAAAUUGAGUUUCAGAAAGUGAUUGUAAUUUAGGGCUGAUGCACCGCUCAAAAUUAAUACCAGAUAUGAUUUAGACUUCCGUUCGUUCUAUCAUUUGUAUUGCAUGGUAUUUGAAUAAUGUGUUGUUCAUUUUGUACACCACUCAUAAUCCAAUGACGCAUUGUAUAAGUUGGAGACGGUUACCUCAAUAAUCACUGGCUUCCCAUCUUUCAUCGCCUUCUUUAGAUCACCGUCAAGACCUAGUGAACACAAGAUUAGAAUCAGACUAUGCUCUGAGCAAGUCCAAUAUCUCUCAACACUAUUUAGUUCACAACUAAAUACUUGAGAUCUGAAAAGUACAGGAUAAAUGUACACAAACACCUCCUCCACAUACAUGCUUUGCAACCGAUGUAGAUGGGAAGGAGGCCAUCAAGAAAAGAAAAAAAACGCCACGCAAAGGAGAAUUAUAGGAGAAAGGCAGCAAACCUUUGCGGACGAUACGGCAUUCGCGGCAAAACUCUGUGACCAGCUCCUCAGACGAUGCAAAAUCUCGAGACCAAACAGGCUUAGAUGCAAGAGGAGCACUGUUCAACGCACUGCUCAAGGCAUGGAUUCAGAAAUCAGAACACAAUGUCCGUAAAAUCUUUAACAUGUAAAAAUGCAGACAGAAAACUUGGCGAAGGAAGAAAGAUCGAUGGCUCGCAAUGAAGAUAGGAGAGUGUUUUCUUACUCUGAGGAGGUGCGAAGUAAUUCGUAGACCAUAUCAGUCUGCGGAUAUAGAGCCAUUCGCAGCGUAAGAGGAAGAUUUAUGAACAAAAUUCACGUCAAACAGAGAAACAAGUGGCGUCCCCACCAAGAUGGUCCUACUGCUUUCAGUGAGACGAACAAACCUGCAAGACGUUCGGUAAGUUAAGGCGCUGGGCAAGUUGAGUGGCCAGAGUGGACUUGCCAACACACGCAGUGCCGCACACAAGAAUAAUGAGUGGCAACCUUUGGUGAUGAAACCUGAUUCACAAGGAGUAGAGAUUGUUGGAUAAUAUAUAUCAGCUGACAUUAAUAUUGAAAUUUAAACGCAAUCACACCCCAAUAAAACGAAACAGUGAUCGAGCUAAUCCAUGGCUCUCAUUCGUGACACUGUAUUGUCUGAAGGAAAAUAAGGGUAAAGAGUACUUGAGAGGAAAUCAGAUCUGCGUGACCGUAAUUAGCAUGAAAGAUGGAGGCGUAGUAUCCACCUCGUCAUCAUUUUGUAACGCUCAAUGUAUUCAGCGCCAUAACCACGUCGCUCCAUCAGCUGUACACAGCAACAUAUCACUUCAGAAACAGAUUGAGAAGCUAACCUUCAGUUAAACAACAAGAAGCUUGAGUUUUUGAAAAGUAAAACAAUCCGAUGUGUUGGUUGAGAAAAACCAAUCUACGACGCCCAUGUACAAACUUGCAUUCCCAAAGAAUGCAAAUGUGAAAAGGUGCACCAUACCUUAAAUAAAUUGGCCUCCAGGUCUGACUGCGACCUAUCAGUACCCAGCAAUUUCCCAAGUUAGAAAACAAGUUCCAUUACCGAUCCUCGUCCAAAAACAUACGACUGACGCAUUCUAGUACAGCUCUUGAAAGCGUUGACACUAAGACAUAGUACAUACAAAAUCGCCCCAAGAUGCAACUUUUUUUUAAUUUGCCUGAAUGAGGGGCCUUACACAUCAAGCAAGCUGUUGUCAAUGAGUAAUUUCUUGAGCUCCAGAGAGAUCUUAAUGGCGACGUGAUUUGGAAUCUGAAGUGAAAUUAAUCCUGAUUUUAUCAAUACACCACAAGUGAUCACAAAAAAUUGACAAGAAACGGACCAAUUUGCGUACGUGAGACUUUCAGAUUCGCGAACAACUAGAAGCAGGCAAGUUUACCCUGGCUACAUGUGAAACCCGUUCCGUGAUUGUUCAUCAAUUUUUGCAAGAAUGACCCGGGGGAGCAGGGUGGGGUGUGGAAAUGUGCAAUACCUUCGUAACUAGCAGCAUGCGACUGAUCAAAAACCGCGACAAAAUAUAAUAAUGAUCUGCAUUGGACCCCAACCACACCUUCACCUGCAUCCCACUCUCACCAAGAUGCGUCAAUAGCAUACCUUCUACCGGCCUUUCCCAAGACCCACGGAAUUAUAAACGUUUGAAGGGGCAAUUUCGCGCCAAAUCAGUACUGUGUUCAGAAUGAUCAGUGCACUUGAAAACCCAGGUGGGCAGAACCAUCCGAACAAUGUUUUCAUUCUCCCUCAAACCUAAUGUAUGCUCUACAACCAAUCACCUAACUGCAACAACAGCUUUCUGUGCGGUCAACGUGCGAGGAACGGCUAGCUCACACUUCCUCCCGACACAGAAUUAAGAUUUCCAGAGAAUGGAAUUGUUCUCACAACAAUUUCCGAUAUUCAGAGCAGAGAUUUUGGCAUGGAUCUAGACGCGCAAGUUGUCAGCUGCCGACACACUACCAUCCUUGAGAAUAAGCUUGAGAGAAACGGCGAAACGGAACAAACCUUGACGAAAUCAUAUUUGGAAGCCGUCCCUCGGGCGGGUUGAGAUCCACUCCCUUGCGAUACAAGAGAAGAUUUCUCAGCAUUCCCAACUGUUGUGGUUGAUUCUUCCACCACCGCCGCGCCGUUUGUAAUGGACGUCAUGACUCUCUUCCUCUCUCGCUCCCUCCCUCCCUCCUCCUCUACAGAUCCACUCAAACACUCCAACAACCCGCUCUCAACCCGAAUGCCACAAGCCUAAAAGAAUAGCUGCUGAGUCCACCCUUCCAAAUAUACGCGAAGAAAUUUCCGACAGAAGCGAAUGACGACGCUGCGGACAAGGUCAAAUAUGUACCACGAGCUCUCUUUUACUACACCCGUCUUGCGUAUACCCCCGCACCCACUUGGCGAAUGGCAGGUCCUGGGGGAUAAGUUACUGUGGCCGCAUCGCAGGGCGGAAUUCUCUGGCGCAAUAUGUGAUGCCAAACGUGGACCUCUCUUUCUCUCUCUGUGUGUGUUUUGUGGAAUUUGUGGGUGCUGAAGUUGUCAGGAUUAUGACCUUGGCUUGAUUCAAAAGGUAUGGGAUGAUAAACCCGAUGAUGCGAUGCGUGAAGAAUCCUUUGGGGAUAAAACAGAUCCAGCGCUAUUUCUUUCUCUCUCCCUUCAGAUCUGCCCCCGUCCUCUUCACCGGUUGUGGCCGAAGCCCUCGCUCUCUCCCCUUCGCGCGCUUCGACGCUGUAAUUCUCCGCAUUAACGAAGCCACGGUGAAAGGUGUCACGUGCUCCGUCGAAAAAGGCCUCCCCGACGGUCAUACCCACCACAUGCACGCACGCCCCUCGAGGUUUUCUUCACCAAUUCUUAAGGCACUACUCAAGCCUUUAAAAAUAAUAUAUAUAUAUAUAUAUAUAUAUGGUGAUGAUAUCAAUACCCUUUUUAAGAAAAGUUUUCUUUGUCAAACCAUGAGAUUUAUUUUUGUGAGACUUUAUUUCUAAAUAGUAUUGACAACAACAACCAUCACCAAUUAUUUAGUUUCCUUAAUUAUUGUGGAUUAUGAAACAAACAAUGUUGUGAAUGUUGCUGUGUGCUUCUGUAUAGCAAGCAUUCUUGUGUUUAAAUUAGUAGCAAGAUAAGGGUUGUGAUUUAGCAUGCAAGUAAUAGAACAAGAAAAAUUGUUACAUUAAGAUUUGAUAUGUUAAUAUUUGUUCAAGAAAAAAUUGGUAGAAGGUUCGGAUAUGUUUCAAUCAAUUGUAUGUCAUGAUUUUUUUUAAGUUCUCAGCUUAUGUUGUUUUAACUUUUUAAUAGUUCAUGCAAUCAUACUAUUGAUGUUAUUCCAUAAUGUUUAAGAUACUUUGAAAAUUAAUGCAUGAUAACACGAUAUUUAAACAUGCAUGUAUGUAUAAAUAUAUAUAUAUAUAUAUAUAUAUAUAUAUUUAUAUAUAUAAUUCAAAAUAGGCAAAAAAAAAAAAUCUGUAUGUAAAUUUUGUUUAAGAGAAAACAGAUUAUGAUCAAUGCCUAUAAUAUGAACAAACAUAAUAAUGAUAAUCAUAGUGAAAUGAUAUAUUCCAAAAAACAUGAGAAAAGUAGCGAAUUCUUUUUUGUAUUUUUGUGCAUUCUAGACAUCUUGAAACAUACUUUAAAUGGAUAUGGUAUGUUGAUUCUUUAUAUAAAAAAAAUCAUAAAAUUAAUGAUAAAAAAUAGGAAAAGUUAAUGUAAUUAUAUAUUGAGGCUUUAAUAAAAUAUAUGUAUAUAUUCUUUGACAGAUAGGAUUUAUGUUUUUGAAAAUGAUUACAUAUGUCAAUAACAAUGAAGGAAAUUAAAUAAAACCUUUUUUUCAUGAUCAGUUUAUAGUUAUUAUGGUCAUUCAUUUUUUGUAGUAUGUUAUUGAUUAUAAGCAUUCAAUGUUACAUGUAUUAUUUUAAUCUGAACCAAAAUUGCAUAAAUUUUUUUAUUAUUUUCUUUUAAUUUUUUUUUUGGAAUUUUCUAAUGUCACUACAUUUUUUGCUACUACCACCGCAAUCCUUCAUCUAACAAAGGCCACCUGAAUUCAAUACCUUCCAAACCAUCUGAUUCAAUUUAUUUCUCUCUCUCUCUCUCUCUCUCUCUCUCUAUAUAUAUAUAUAUAUUUAGAAUAAAAAACUAAAAAUAUAUGUCAAAUGGAUAGUGGUGGUUGUAGCAAAAGUUGUGAUGGCAUAAGCCAUACCUUAAAUUUCAAUGGUUAUUUUAGACAAAUGAAUUAUUCUUUAUUUUUUAAAAAAUAAAAUAUUAUAUAUAUAUAUAUAUAUAUAUUUUCUAUAGUAUUAUGUAUUAACCUUCAUAUAUUUUAUUUAUUACUUAUUUGAUUAAUGGAAAUUAUUAUUAAAAUAAAAAUAUAAUACAUAGAUUAUUGUUGAAUGUAUGUAAAUAGUUACAUUAAGUUUUUAGACACAUAGGCAAUAGCUUCUAAUAAUGCACAAUAAUAACCUAUGUAUGAUGCAUCUUUACAUAUUAAGGCUUCAAAUCCUACCACAAUAUAUAUUAGUUAAUGUCUUUGCUUUAAAUAUUUCUAAAUUGAAUUGUUUAUUGUUGUUGUUGUUGUUUUGUUUUGUUUGUUUUUGUUUGUUUUUUUUGUUUUUUUUUUGUUUUUUUUUUUUUUUUUCCUUUCCUUUUAAAAAAUAAAUAACAACAAACUUAAUCUAUUCUAUAGUGUUACACGAGAGAAUCAAAUCAACUAUAAUGUUACAUGAAAGAUGUAUGCUUUUGUAUGCACAUCUUUCAUGAAAAAUAAAACAAACAUUAUAAAACAAGUAUAUAUAUAUAUAUAUAUAUAUAUUCAUAAAAAUCAUUUUUUUGUAACUUAUAAAGUGAUUUAAUUUUUAAAAAUGUGAAAAUUUUAAUUAUAAAAUAUUAAAUAAUAUAAAUAAUAUAAAUACUAUAUACUUAUAUGAUAUUUUAGAAUAAAAAUAAAGGUAAGCAUUUAAGAGAAUUCAUAUAUAUAUAUAUAUAUAUAUAUAUAUAUAUAUACACAAUUUAAUUGUUGUUUAAAAUAUGUUUUUAAUGUUUAUCAUUCUAAUUUUUUUGAAUUAUUAUGAAUUUUUUCAACAAACUUUAACAAUUCUAAUGUAAAUUUUAAAUAUUCUUGAGUAAUUUCAAAGCUUCUUCAAAUUUUAAAUGAUAAGAAUUUAAACUUGUAUAACAAUAAUAUUUCUUUAAAUAAAGUUAUUAGUUGCUUUUGGAAUUAUUCUCAUUUUAAGAAUUCUAAUAUAGUUACAAGUUACAAACAUUAAUCUUAUUAGAGAGAAAAGAUAGCCACAUGUAUAUAUCAUCAACUAUUAAAAGCCAUGACACCUCGGUGUGCAUGCACCUUGCACUCUUCUUUAUCAUGUGAGACGAAGAAGGAUAAUCUAAAUUUGGACACUAUGGGGUCGUUGAUUUUUUAUUCAAUCGCGGGUCCCCGUUCGAUAGGCCCUGGGACCGGGUCUCGGAGGAGGGGCCAACCCGCGCCGCCUCCUCCUCCCUCCUUAGAUGCUGCUGAUCGUAUUUUGUGUGGCGAUCGAGCAACGUGAAUCGUUACGCUUCAAAAUCUUAUGGCCACUUGCUGAUUUUUUAGGUCAAGGGAGCAACAUUUUGGGGUGAGUAAGAAUGGCAGAAAUGGGUUGGCGCGAUCCGAUAGUUAGAGGCUGUUUUCGCGAGUCGUUAUGAGCUUUUGUGGCGAUUCCUCUCUGUGAAUUUCUAAACCCUAAACCAUUCAUUUCUCUAGCCAUGAUCCAUGACCACUUGCGCACCAUUUGUCGUCAGGGUCGUCAGUCCUUACCUUCGACAGAUGAGAUAAAAAGGGGGAAAGAUCACACACACACACACACACACACAAACCGUGUAUUCCGUGUACGAAGUGAGAUUAUUCGUAAGGGAAGAUGCGAGGAUGUUUGCAAGAGAACCUUUCCGUAGCUGAAUCUUGUCAAGGGUGAAUUCUCCGCACAGGAUGCGACUGAGAAGAUUUGACUCCCUGUGGUCAGCUGUGGAUGAACGUAGCCCUGUGGAUAGUGCAAGUCUCUUGAGCUCUCGUCAUUUGACUUCAGGAAACGUUUGUUUACUAGUUCGAGUCUUCGACAACACGAGCUCAUUUUAAGGUUGUCGCGAAGUGAACACUCAUCCUCCUAAAUGGGGCACGUUUCUUUCUAUUCAUAAUUUUCCCAAAUAAAGUCGAGUGCGUGGGUGAGUGUGGGCGUGAAUUUGCUGCGACCUCUGACUGUCCCUAUUGACGAUAUGAACGAAUAGAGGCACCGGCUGCAGACCACUACAGUGGUGGGAAAAUAUUUUUUUCUCGCUCGCACCAGUCUCCCGUUAGUGGAGAGUGAAAUAUCUGGGACCGAGGGAAGUGAAUUUUGGUUGUUCUGUAAGAUUGGAACAAAUGUGCAGUUGCUCUUCUUUUUUUCAGAAUAGGAAAUUCAUGGUCAUUUAGAGAUGGUUGUUAGUGAGUUAUAUAAGUUUGAUUGUUUGUCUACUAAUAAUUAAAGUUCAUUGAGUCCGCAGCCUUGUUGUGGACCCCGCAUUCCUGUACGCGAGCCAAUCAACAUUUUGCACAGCAAAUGUUCUGACGAACAACAUCUUCCAGGGAGGCGUGGAGAUCUGUAACACCAAGCCUGCCGGGUCUCCAGAGUGUCUGAUAGUUCAGGUCCUAAUUCACUUUUCUUCGAAUGGGGCAACGAGAAUCGGAAGAAUCUCAGUGCAUCGUCAUCCAUUGCCUUCAGUCUUCUCGUAGCCAACUGUUGCCAUCACGUUCGGUUUUUGUUGGCUUGUAUGUCAUUUUCCGUUUCUGCUACGGAAAGCCGCCCUUCGCGACUCGACUUGAGCAGUGGCGUUGGUUGUGUGCAUUCCGUCUUGAUUCAGCCGUGAAGUGAAUGUGAUUGUGCUCUGUCUAUCUCACGAGUGGUCGACUUCUGAAAAACGUGUUGACAAGAGCUUCUAUCAAGGCUAGGUACAGUAUUCACAAAUCCCAUGGAUGAUAUCAAUUUCACCCAUUUAACCUCCCCGCUCUCAGCAGGCAGUGGACUUUUUGUUUUCUUUCACUAGAGUGCGGAAACAUCUUAUGCUGCUUGUGACCUAAUUCGUUUGCUUGUCUGGUACACCAUCGCCUCGUUUCAACUUCGCUACUCCUCACUCUUCGGAAUGAGUGACAUUGAAGGCACUCUGGGUGAAUAUUUAUCGUAGCUGGCCGGCAAUGGUUCCUUGAGUUGCAGGUUUUGCUGGAUUUGUGGUCAGGGUUGUUAGUUGUGUUGAUGGGUUAAUUUCAUAACUAACAACAUCAACCCAUCAACACAACGAACAACCCUGACCACAAAUCCAACAAUUUUUUUCAGACAGGUCACGGCAUAGGUCAGGAUCACCGGAGAUUAUGGUGGUUAGUUUGAUUAUCUGAGACCGCAGAAGUCUUUCAGUAUCUUCAUAUGAAUCACUCGACUGACGCUGGGCGAGCUUUCGAUUCGUUUGUCUUUUAAACUUGAAUUCUGUCGGCCAAAGCUUGUGCUGUUAAUUUGAUUUAGAUUUGCCGGACAGAUUUAAAUGUUUAGAUAUUGCGCGGUGCAAGCCAGCAAUUGCGACGUGACGUAUCAUGGCAGACAAUAGGGAUUGGGCUUUGUGCGUCAAGGUCAAGACAAAUUACAAUUUCAUUAGCCAUAUGAAGUCGUGGAUCCAGUGUUCUCUCUCGUUGUAGUCGACAUGCAUUAAGGCUAGGAAUCUAAUUGAGGAACAUUCAAACCCUAUUCGUUGCAGCGAAUUAUUUCCACUCUAAAUGCCCGGAGUGGUUCUAACAAUCGCUUGUUUUUCUUUUUUCCACUGAACUCCCAAACCCUAAACCUGGCUUCGGGGGCCAUGUUGAGCUUGGGACGACUUCGCCAUCCCGACUUAACUUUGCACCCAUGCUGUGUACCUCAAUCCACAUUUACGACUUUUGCAGUCCCUACUGUAAUCAGAUUUUCACGUCACCAGGAAAUGCAUAUGAAGAAUUGG
RNAcentral lists this long non-coding RNA (55303 nucleotides) under Physcomitrium patens. Its description in RNAcentral is "long non-coding RNA (PPAT_LNC010238)". The record is from RNAcentral. Lineage: Eukaryota; Viridiplantae; Streptophyta; Bryopsida; Funariales; Funariaceae.